RNAcentral lists this long non-coding RNA (79718 nucleotides) under Musa acuminata (dwarf banana). RNAcentral's name for it is "long non-coding RNA (MACU_LNC001813)". Lineage: Eukaryota; Viridiplantae; Streptophyta; Magnoliopsida; Zingiberales; Musaceae. The record is from RNAcentral.
UGUUUUUGAUGUUGUGGGCCUUCACAGAAACAUCUAUAGCUUGAUGAUGAACCAAACAGCACCUGCAUCCUUCUCUUGCCAAGAAGUCAUCUGCAUAACAUAUCCACACACUCAGAACUCCAAUAAAGAAAGACUUAAUCAUAGGCUUUAAGAUUCUGUGGGUUUGCAUAAAUUACUCAAUCCACUUUUGGUUUUUUGUUCUCCAAAAAAACCAAAAUAUAUUACCUAUUUAUAUGAGUACAAAAAUUGCCUCUCUUAUCAAACAAAGACUAUUAACCCAGAAAGAUCUGAGGGUCAUUUCCUUCUCAACAAAAUGCUGCCCUUGAGGCUUCUAGCAUGAUUGACAACUGGCCGCGUCUGCCGUAAAAACGGGAGACAAUAUUCAUCUCAAAUUGUUUAAACAAAAAUAAAAUGUCCUUUAAGCAAUAUAAUUCAAUAUAACUCAGGAACACUAUUUGAAUGUGUAUGGAUAGAAUUAGCAGCUAUCAAGUUUACAUAUGCAGAGUAGGUAGAGAGAUUAAACAUCUUGAACAUGAUCCACCAACAUUGAUGAUAUCCCACACAAGUAGAUAUCUACACACAAUCAUACAGACAAAUUGUGUACAAGUAGAGCAGCAUUUGCUUUCAGAUGCAAAUAAUGUCCUACAAGCACCUUGCAAUAAUCAAACUUCAAGCACUAGUAGCUCACUAUGCAUCUAAAGUUCAGGCAUUAGUAGAGCCUUAUCUUAGUUGUAAUAUGGCUUUGGCAUAUGGGGCAACGCUGCAAAUCUUUCCCACAGUCGAAACAAGUCUGAGAAAGAAGAAGACUCGGUCACUGCUUGAUCAGCCAAUUGAUUAAAAUAGCAACAAGAGCUUUUGACUUACCUGAUGUCCGCACCCAAAUGCAAAAUCCUUUGAUUUCCAUAGGCAAAUUGGACAGAUCUGCAAACCAACAAGUAAAAAAUCAUUUAGAAUUUUAACAACCGUAAACCACCAUAUUCAGAUUAUUUUUAAGGUCUGUUAGAAAGAGUAACAUUGUUCUAUCAGCAUCUAGAAUGUUAAGUUAAUAAUAUACUUGGAAGCAAAUGCAUCCAGUUAUUGUGUUUUUCUGCCAAUAAUGACUUCUUCACAACAUUCUACAGGUUUUUUUUUUUCAUAUAACACCUUUCAGGUAUAUUGCUCUUGUAUCACUAUUUGCAUUCUGUACCAGAAAAUUUCCCCUUAAUUUUGACCAUCUGACACCAGGAACAAACAAUCAAAUAUUUAUUGUACUUAUCACUUUUUAUGAACUCUUUGAUUUCUGUAAUAAAGGUACUUCUAUGGAUUCGGUGCUGAUGUGAUCCUAAAGUAGCAAGUCAGCAACUACAUAUUAUCAUAUGUGAUGCCUUGUUUCCAACUUCCAAGUGUCAUGUAGACAUUGUGCAAAUGCUAUGUCAAUAUCAUACAGGCGGCGUGUAAGCACAAAUUUCUCACACUUUUUAUGGAUUCUCUCGUGCCCAUUUGGUGUUGGUGUCCCUGACUUGGCACCUAUAUGUUUGCUAAGCUAUCAAAGGAACACGAAAUCAAGUCCGUAUCGCCCACAUGGGUGCCACGUUUUACCAAACAGGUGUCAUAAGUCACCACAUCAGUAAAAGUUCUGUUAAAGCAAUUUAAGCAAUUUCUUUAUGAAGUUUAGAAUACUUUUUUGGACAACUAAAGCAAUUGUCUAGGUCCUGAUGAAAAUAGUGGUGAAGAAGAGAAAGUGUGCGAGAGAGUUGUUCGUAAUAAUGCAUGACAAAGGAGUUAAAAGCAAAAAGUCCCAGCAUUUAUUUAAAUUUUUAUUUAAAACAACAAACAUGAGUCUCAGAAGAAGUAAAUAGCAAGUUUCAAGAGGACUGAAUUUUAAAUUUCAUUUUCUUGGAUCUGGGAUCUUCAUCACAGCAAAGCGUAAUCAAAUUUGAAAUAAUCAAAAUUAUUGAUACCAGCUUAUCCUCCAUAGAACUUUCAGAGGUGGCAGGUGGGUAGCUUCUGGUGAUUCCAGGACCUUGCUCAAAGCUACUUGACCGUGAGUAAGGGUUCCUGGUUGGUGGAGGAAGACAAACCCUAUCAGGAACUCCCCUUCGUUGACUGCAUAAUGCAACAGCAGAGUGCCAUGCCAAUAAAACAUUUGUACAUCAUUAACAGAAAUUUGAAAAAAAAAUUAUCCACAAACCCCAGAAGUUGAAGGUCUAUCGUUGCUUUAUACUGUGAGGGAAUUUCCAUCAGUGCAGCAAGUGCAAACUCUGUCUCCUUUCUACUGGCAGGGAAGUUUCUAGACAUUAUCUCAGUAAAAUUCACAAACUGCAUAGGACAAAAUGAAUUUAUGCUUCACCCUUCAAUUACUUUGAAUGCAAAUGAAACUUUCGUUAGGUGUAUCUUGGAACCUGGAAAUUAUCAUAUGCUCGGGAGGGUAUAUUGUCAUCAAACUCAUGCAUCAUAUCCCAUGGACCAUCUCCAACUCCAACAAGAACUAUUGACAAGGGAUAGUCACUAAAAGCAAAGAAAAUAAUGUCAGAAAAGCAUCUAAAUAAGGAAAAGGAAUAUCUUCACAGUCACGUAUCUGAUAAUUACCUUGCUUUGACUAUGGCACUGAGUGUAUCUCUCUCCUGUGGACUUAAUUGUCCAUAUUGUGUGUCUACGCUUCGUGUCACCUAUGCAACAAACAAAAGGGAACUGUUAUCGUGUGACACUAAAAUCAUUUGAAAACUAGGCAUCAAGUCCUACCAAAAAUGAAAACGAAUGAUGCAUCAGAGAGUAAACAACAUGCACUCUGGAUGUAGCAGUAUACAAGAAGAAUAUAUACAGAGAAAACUUAUCUAAAAGCAUUAGCUAACCUGCCCAUCAGCAAUAAUAAGUAGAACAUGGUACUGCCCAUGGGUGUUAUCGACAAUGCCUACGGCUGUUUCAAUAAUUGGUGCAAAGGACGUUGGCCCUGAAUGAAAUAUGUCGUGUUGGUUCCACUGGGAAUCAUAGAGAACUGAUCCAGAUCUGAGAAAAGAUUAAGAGUCAUACUGACCGGCUAGCCGAAGAUUUGGAACUAGUUCUCUGUAACGUUCAAGUGCUUCUUCAAAGCCAUUACACGGUCGGUUAUCUGGAUAAAAGCUGAAUACUUCCUGGUCAUGAGUGGAUGCUGCACAAUAAAAACAAUAAUAUAUUUCUAUCUUAGAAUUCCUUGGUCAUUUCCAAGACUAGAAGAGUUUAGAUUUAGCAUCAGGCUUGACAGCUAAAUUUAGUUACUGCAGAACAACAUAGUACGACUUGUCAAAUGAUGUAACUAAAUGAAUAUCUAUAACCAGCAUAUAAAUCACUGACCAUCACCAAACCCAAAGCAAGGAAUAAGAUUAUCUUCAUCAAAAGCAGAAAGUGUCUUUCCAAUAAUAGAUAUUGCCUGUUCAUUGGUUUGGAGUAUUCCCAAUGUCAUGUAGGCAAUGGCGGUUGAAAGAAACUUUACCUAACAACAAGCACAAAACAAUACAAUCAGUAAAUUCAAGGAGUAAAUGAAAAUCAUUAUGUUUAAUGAUAAAUGUGGCUCAAAUUAAACAUAAAAGGACAGAACUCAAAAAUAGAAAGUCUGCACAAUGAAAUAGUUGGUAAGUACCUAGAAUCAGCAAAGCUACAGAGGUUAUCGUUCUCCCAACAUAAAGCAUCUUAACAAUCUUAGGGACAAGGGUGACAUUUAAGAAUUUUAUGAUCAAUAUCUCAUAGUGGACAAAAUUUGCGUUAUGAAUAUCUCAAAGUGGAACUAAUAAGAAGAAACUCAAGUUGUAUUUUUAUUGUCUGAGAAGAAAAACACUGUGAUUGAUUUUAUUUGUAAAUUAAUAGCCAGCUAUGUAUCUCAAGCAUGUACUAAGAAAAAGGUGAAACGUGGGAUUUGUGUGUCUGAACCUGUCCAUUCAUUGCUCUUUGUAAAAUCAAUUCCCACGAUAAGAUUUGAUGAUUCAAGACCUGCUUCUGCAAGCGCCUCAGUAACCUAAACAAAAUCACAAAUGUACCAUUCUCAGAUUACUCACAUAACUAAUAUGGAUCACUUGAUCUUACACCUAAGAUUUACUAUAAAACUGAGAAGUAAUUGCAGAAUGAACUGAGAUCACAGUGAUAAAACAAAUGAGAAAAAAAAAAUUAGAUAGUUACUUAUAUUAACAGAUGAAUUAUUACUUUCAUGAUCUAAAUAUAAUAUAGUUCAAACUUGCACAGAAGUAAAGAGAAAAUUUGUUUUAUCAUUGAUGUACUAUAACAAGCAAAGAAGACAAACAAUAGCAGUGAACAUUUAAAUUGAUGUGAAUGCACUCUAUCAAUAGAUAUGCAAGGUGCUAAAUUGCAGCAGCUACUUGAGUAAUAGGAACAUAUAAAGUGUCACUGAACAAGAAAAAAGGCCUUUUAAUAUUUAAAGGACACACACACACACACAUAUGUGUGUGUGUGUGUACAUAUAUAUACAAAAGGCAAGUUGGUCCAAAUUUGAGCAAAAGAAAUACACUGUGAAGAAAGCAUUACAUUGUCUUCAUGGUGGUGGUCUAUACUUUGUAACUUGAUUUCUUAAAAUAACCUCAAAAGGUUUCUACCUAUUAGCAAAGCAUCAAUCUCUAAGAAAGAUUGUGUACAUAGUGUUCAAGAGAUAUACACUAAUGAAUGCCAUUUGCUGUAUGAUUUAGUGUUGAUUAAUGAACUAUGAAGAUCAAAUUUUGAAGUAGCAUUGCUGUUUCUGAAAACAAAAACAAAAAAACAAAAGUCAUAGCAAAGCCUACAUAUUGUUAUGAGGAAAAAGCUAUUAAGAAACAGCUAUUAAGUUUUCAGUUAAUUGGUCAACUCAAGAGGUACCUAUGGAAUGCGUUCCAAUUUGGAGACUUGGAGAAGCUAAUAAAAAGCAUUACGGCCAUAUGUGAUGAAUGGUUGAUAUGUAAAGAGUCAGGUCAAACAGAAGCAUAUAACAGAAAUGAGAAUACCUAAGAUUCAUGUCUUAGGAACCAGGAAUACAUAUUCGGCAAUGGUGAAAGGAAUGUGGCAGUCAUUGGAAAAUCAUUUGAGCCGCACGGUUAUUAUCAAUGAAAAUCUCAUAGAAAAGUAAGAGUGUGACCAAGGGCAACUUGAUAGGUCCGGAUGACAAGCUGAAAGGUAACAAGCAUUAAAAUUGUAUCACAUCUGAUCCAUCAAAAGUGAAAAUAACACUAGAAUUCUUCGAUAGGUGUAACAAUUACUAUGAAACAAUAUAGUAUCUCUAAUUGCUAACGGAAGAACAUAAUAUAUUUAAUCCUAAGCAUCAUUUAUUAUGGGGAAACUUUUUUUCUAAGGAAGAAUGAGUGUGAUAAAUUAGAUUGCAUAAGUUGAACAUAUUGGAUAUAAAAUUUUGCUAGGUGAAUUUUGAUAAACUUUUGCUGCUACCCUUUUCUUUAUAUGUAAACUGUGACCACCACUUCUUUCUUCAUCAUUCUAUGAUGUUCCUUGAUAUGUACAUCCAUCACGACCGUUUUCUAGAAGUGGCAGUUAGUUUCAACUGUCAACCAAAACUGAAGAAACCAAAGAGACAACUUACAAAAUAGCAAGUUUUAUUAUUCAAGAUAAUUAGAGAAGAUCAUAUUGCUAACUUAUGCUAUUUACUUGAACAUUUACAAACUGGAGAACUGGAAAAAAAGAAAAAAAAAAAAAAAAGAUGGCUUCUGCAUUGACUAGCAUACUUGACUGAGUGUUUGGUAGUCAUCAUUGAUCCUUGAAUACUUUCUUUGCAAUCUGUUUACUGUUUCAGGCUGCACAUAAUUUGAAGCAGCUGGAGAGAACCUUGGAGCAUAGCUUGAAGAAGAAUGGCCAUAAUCAUAAGAGUCGCGAUAAGAACUGUGAUGUUUGGACUCUCCCCCUCCCAUUGUAACAGUUCCCACUCUUGGAAACCUUCAGACACUAAAUCUCUAAGUUAUCCUUUAAAAAAUUUUCAGAUGCUACAGAUUUCUAAGGAUGGAUACCUCCUUCAAAUGCUGAUCUGGCACAAAAGAGCAAAAUUUUAAAUUCUUUCCAAACCAACCAAAACGUGUGCUAAAGAAACAAGAGUUUGGCUUAUUUUUCUAGAAGGCAGUAGUGAAAACCAUAAUUCAUAAUUCCAUCCGAAAAAUUCAUUGCCACGGAAAAGUAGGGCACAUAUGUUCAUUCAUGAAACUGGAUGACAAAAUCUAACAGCAACCUUUUUCAGUACUAUGUUGAAUUGAAAGAACAUUGAAUGACUAAGUUAACAAAAUUCUGCAUUAGUCUGCACAUCAGUAUACAAAACUAGCCACUAGCAUUUAAUGCGAAAAAAAACCUUGAUUCCACCUCAGAAUAACACCCCCAAGUUACGAGGAAAUAGAAACAAAUGCGAUUGGAAACGCAAAGCAUUUAAUAUAUGCUGGUAAGGUUAGUCAUCCAGAUUCCAGGUUCUAAAAAACCAUCCGACAGAGAUAGUAAUGGAUAGUCAUGGGAUUGGCAUUAAUGAAAGCAAGUAGUUAGCUAGGGAAGCAUCAUAGAGUGACAAAUCAUUCGAUCAAGAAUUCAUCAAGAGAAUCAAACUCACUAAAUUAAAUUAUACAUCAGACAAGGAGCAAUAAAUUGAGAGAAGGAAGAAAACCAAAUUUAAUAGGCCGAAUGAUUGACUCAUGACCGACAAGUACUUACAUCUGCUUAUUGGUAAAUAUAUGUAAAGCUUCUAGCGAAACACUGGAAGAGAUUCAUACACGAUUUUGCCUUACAAUCGAACCUGAAAUAAUAUUUUAGUCAACCGCAAAAAAAAAACAGACAGCGAAAAUUCAAACAUAACCCAAGAACUAAGUUCGAUCGGCGUGUAUCAAAAUGAAGGCAACCGCAUCAUCUUGUGCCGAGUAAAAUUUGAUCGACUGAACCUUACUUCAGCUCGGUAAUCCACAGCACCAAACUGACAAAUCAAUCGUUGAAAAUAUCCCGAAAAUCGAAAAUUUUUCAUCAUCCACUAACUUUUAGAACGACAACGACAACAAUUACCAGUAAAGAAAAAGACGACAUUGCGCACUGCGAAAAUAAAGUUGGAUUCUCACACCAUUCCCUACCAAGAUUUAAUCUUCGAUCGAAUUGUAAGACUACUCAAGGAUGUGAAAGACAAGAAACUACUAAAACCCAAAACAGUGGGAAAUCAUGUUCUCAGCCCAAUAAUUGCAACUCACGAAACAAAUCCGAAGACAAAACUCACCAAAAAAAGGGCUUCGGGAGAUGCGAUUUUAUCCACCAGCCAGGAAUAUGUGAGCCGCGUCAAUCGAAGAACUUCAAUCGACCAACAGCAGAACGCUAUACCUCCACCACUAAGCCUCGUAGGGGGAACCAACAACAGCCGAACGCAAUUCCUUCACCGGUAAGCCUCCGAGCGACAGUCGUUAAGACUCUUAUUAAUGUCCAUUUUUAUUGUCUGAAACGAAAAAUGGGUAUCUCGCACACAAUCACAACAGACCCAAAACGCACCGGAAUCGGAUUGGGUACAAUGACGUAAAAUGAUGUCGUUCAUCCAAUCUUAAAGCAGGGUUGUUUUAUUGGUAUGCCCAUCGGGGUUACAUAACCGAAAACAUUUCGGGGUCAAGUCAAUAAAAGCGGGCAUAUUAAAUGGCUUUUGUAUCGGGUUGGGGUGGACUAAAUACCUGCGUUGACUCGCUCCCCGGCGGCGUUGACUCGGGAAGUCGUCGGAAAUAUUAAACCACGAAAUUGCCCCAUGUUAACAGUAAACGUCAACCCAUUGUGGCCAUGUGAGUUGCCCAAAGGGACAGAGCACUGCGGGCAUACUCGUCGGAGGGUUGGAUCAAUGCCACUUCUCCAUUCGGCACUGCAACACGCAAUCACCAGAUGUUUGUUGUUAUGUACCGAUCCCUUCAUGUUAAGAUACGCACGUCAUCGUCGUUGUCAUCGAUGCGUAUGUCAGCGUCGGCUUUCUCUUCUCAUCAUCUGUAUUUUGUGAACGCAUUUGGCAUUUCAGAGGUUGAUAUGCCAAAGGAAUGGCAAAGAUUGCUAUCAUUGGCUCAGAUAUCGAUGUAUGAUCCGAAUGACGACCCGAUCCGCCUAUUCUUUCCGGAUCCGGAUCCGGAUCCGAUCCUCUUACAGCCGCUGUUGGAGCUUUCGGAAACGGUUCUGACCUGAUGGCAGCCAUUUCGUCGUCUCUCCACCUGCUCAACGGUUCAGAUCUCGCUAUCAACGGAUCAUGGAUAUGGAUCAUUCGUCUGAUCCGAAUCGCAACCCGAUCCGACCCUCUCACGGUCCUCGUUGGACCUUUCGGCUCUGGGAAUCAUUUGUGAUCUGAUGGCUGUGAUGUCGUCGUGUUUCCAACUACUCAACGGUUCAGAUCUUCCGAUCAAUGGAUCUUGGCUACUAAAACCCUCGAGCCAAACCCUCCCAAUUCUAUUGGAGUCGGCUCUUUCUCCCUCCUCAAACCGGAAUUGUUAGUCCUGCAGAAUCGGUAGGUAUGCUUCUCUGUCUUCUUCAUCUGUCGUGCGAUUUCUCGUUGAAUCCGUUGCAGUUAUUCUCCUUCUCCUGCUUUUCUGGUUAAUCCCUCUUCGCUUUUUUGUGCUUCAAUCCUUUGCUAAAUUUUUCCGAUGGUUUAUGGAUAUUUUUAUGGAAAUCGCUACUUUUCCUUCUUAGUUAGCAUUUAAUUUGUCAUAAUAGGAAGAACUUCAUGAUUUUAGACUAAUUUAUUUGCUUUGUAUUAUCCUCACGGCGUCCUCUCUCUUGUGAUCUAAUAAAUUGCUUAGUUUGUCCGAUUCCUUAAUGUACAUCCUAAAAGAUGGGGCUACUCAUUGUUCUCCAAACGACAGUUGGAAAUUUAAAGCGUGUUAGUUCUUCUCUUUGCUUUUCAGUUGCACAGGCGUUUUUUUUUUUGUGAUAAAGAACAAAGAUUGAAUCUAUGUUUUUCCGAGUUUUAUUUACUUGCUGAUUUCAAAUUAUUGCAUAUUGUUCUUACAUGUGUGGUUUCUAGUAUAUUUUGUAAAAUUUUCAUGCUUCAUGAUAACUUCCUUGAUUCUACUGAAGUACCAAGAAGACGCCUUGGUUGGAUAUAUUUAAAUUUUUCCACAUUUAUAGCCUAUUGUUCAUUGACUUAUGUUCUUAUAUGAUAUUGUUGGGUUUUCAGAAUGGCAUGCUGUAGAAGUGCAAAGAGUCUCACACGGUUAAUACUCAGCGAAUUGAGUGUUGGUAGGCAGCCCAGAAAGGGUUAUUUUUUUCGGGCAUGUAUAGGGGAGCCAGCAGUUAAGCCAAGAGGGUUGGUAAACUUGAAUGCCUCAAGACAAGUGCUUUUGAGAAGGUUUAGCACCGAAGUGUCAGCUACUGAGCAGAUUAAUCUCAUCAAACAGUUGAGGGAAAGAACAAGUGCACCUAUUAAGGAUGUCAAACUUUCUCUUGUUACUUGUAACUGGGAUCUAGGUUUGUUGCCAUAUUACUCUGUCUAAUAUCCAUUUUAUUUAAUGUUUUUUCUGGUCAUUAUCUCUACAUAAUUGCUUUGCUUGAUAACACAGAGGCUGCACAGAAGGACCUUAGAAAGAGAGGGGUGGUUCUUGCUGCAAAGAAAUCCUCAAGAACUGCUGCCGAGGGUUUACUUUCAGUGGCACAGACUGAGAAAAAAGCUGUUGUAGUUGAACUCAACUGUGAGACAGACUUUGUAGCAAGAAAUGAUGUAUUUCAAUACCUGGUUAGUAUUCAUUCAACUUUGGUGAAAUCACUAGAUUUUGUACUAGCCCUCCACAAUGCUGUCAUGAUAUUGACCAUGUGGAUUUUUAUGAUUUAGCCAAGGAGUGGGAUGACUGUAAACUAGAGAUGCUAGACAGGACAAUGUUCCUAAAUCUCAGUUUUAAGUAUGUCAUAAACUGUUUACAAAAUGAUGUUACAAUUUCUUAAACUCUUUAUCUUGCAAGAUCAAGAUAUUUGGAGUUCUCUCCCUAAAUUUUCAGCUAAUUCAGUAGCUCCAUUUAGAUGAGGUUAGUUCAUGAGAAUAUUCCUCUCUAAGUUUUGUUUCCUAGUAGACAAACAUCUUUCCUCUAGGAAUGCAUGUUUCCCUUCUUCUAUUUUACAUUAAAGUCUUUUAGAUGGAUGCAUUUAAGGUAUUUAAUACACAAAAUUCAGUAAUUUAGACUAGUAUCAGACAGCAGUUAUGCCUGGUAAUAUUCAAGACAGAUAAAAAUUAGUUGAUUUCAGACCCGAGGACAUGGUAGUAUAAAAGCAACAUUUUGCACCUCGACAUUGACUGCCAGAAGUUAUUUAAAUUACCGUUUGUUGUACUGCUAGAGUUGGUAUGGUACGAACACAGACUGGUUCGAAAUCGAGAUGCGGAUCGCUGGAGUCCCCAUCGGCACACCUCAACAUACUGUGUAUUGGUACACCGGUAUAUACCGAUCCGACAAAUCUCUAAGAUGGGUCCGGUAUCCGAAAUGGCGAACCCUGAUUUAAAUAUCAUUUCUCCACUAGAAAUUAACAGUUGGAUUUCCUCAAAUGAAAUGCUUUCCUUCUUAAACCUCAUUCUUUUUGUUUUCUUUUUUUGUCAUGCUAUGGUGCUUGAUCUUCCUUCCAUUUGCAAAAUUUAACUUUCCUCUUGUUGAAUCAAAUUCUCUCUUUUCUAACCAAUAUUGUAUUGCAUAUCCCUUUAAUUUAGGGAUUCAAUAUUCAUAUGCUUGAAGCCUCAAAAAUCCGAUUGCAUGAGGACAUUGAAACUUCAUUUUGUUGCCUUAAAGAAAAGAUUUCCUGAAAUUCUUACACCCAAUUGCUUGUUGUGCACUUAUGAAAGGUUAGAAGGUGUAAUGAUGAACACCUAGAUCAUUCCCAAAGAUUUUUCUUGAACUUGUCUUUCCCAUUCCAUGUAUCAUUGUCAAUUUGUCAGUACAUACUAAAGCGCAGGACCUCAACUACUGGGUGGGGAUCACAUCUCUGUAUUGCGUUACUGAGACAACUUGAGAAGGAUUGGCCUACAUCACCAGAAUACAACAGCAAAGAAGAGCAUAAAAUCCAUCUAUCAAACAUGUAGAAACUGGCAACAAAAUAUUUAUUUAAGUCUAUCAAAUAUGUAUUCAGUGUCACUUUACUUUUGCUACUUAGAAAGUUUGAAUCCCUUGAGGCAGAAUGUAUUUGCUGCAUGAUUCAAGUUAUAUGCCCCAGUUACAACUUUUUUCCAAGAUUAUUUAAUUUUUUGUUGUAUGGUCAUUGAUUUCUGGUGAGCAGUACAAACUUUUUCUUCCUAUUUCAGGCUUCGUCUUUGGCAAAGAUAGCUUUAUCAGCUGAAAGUUCAAUGGUGCAAACUCAAGAAGCUUUUAUAUUUGGACCUGAAUACUUGGAGGUACACAUGUACAAAUGCACUUAUUCUGAUGUUGAUCUUAGUUUGUGACAGUAAGAUUUAUAAUUGACCAAGAAAGCUGGGAUACCAUUCCAGACACACAUAGCUGCCUUGAGAACUUAUAACAUCUGUCACUUUGAAGCUGAUAUAAAUGCUCUUUAUUCUGACAAGCAGAAAAAUAAUUGAAUUUACUAGUACAACUACAAUAUGAAAAGGCUAGACGAGAUGCUAAAGUUGUCUUACGAAAAAGAGAAGGAUGCUACAUGACAUAUGAUUCUUUCUGCAAAUUUUGCCUGUUCAUGAGGAUCCGAUUUGGAAAUCCAACUUUUCUGAAUCUUGUUUGAUAGGCCAUUUGUUUUUUUUUAAUCUUUUUUAAAUACUUGUUCCACCUGGCCAGCAGCUUGAAUAGUAUAGUAUUUUUUUCUGUAUUAUUUAAUAAAACAAGUUCUAGGAAUGCCAAAGGUCAUAUGUGACUGUAAUUAAUGGCAAAUAUAGGUAGACAAAUAAUAUAAAUGCUCUUUUUUUCUUCUUCAUUUCCCCUUCUAAUAUCAAGCAUGCAAGUUGUAUGUAACCAUGAAACCAGCUUCUGUUCGAGUUGAGUGUUUUCCCAGAUAACCAUAUAAUUUCCAUGUGUUAUGAAGUUUGUGUGAACCUUAUAGUACUACCAAACCAAUGCAAGAGAUACAGAAAAAAGAGAGUGAAGGGAAGUAAAAUUAGGGAAAGAAAAAAGGAAGAGAGAGGCUGAUGGUGAUCGGAUAUUUGUCCGGUUCUGGCUCAUUAAGUAUGAGUCUUAUAUAUAGAAGAAAAGGCUUAGCUUUACAGAAGGAAGAAAUUUAUAUGCAUGGGCCAUCUUUGUCAUGUGCAUAACAAAAACGAGCGUAAUCAGAAAGGGCUUUAUUCAUGAACGGUUAUCCUACACAAAGAAACUGAAGAUAAAUCAAAUAUUGACGGUAUCUCCAAGGUCAUUUUUGCCAGUGUGGAGACUGUUUCUAGUUAAUGCAUUGAUUUUGCUAGAGCAAUUCUUUUUUCCUGCUUUAGCACUUUUUGCUUUCCUGCUUAAUGUUUAUUUGACACUGUUUUUUAUUCUGGCUCCUAUGGUUUGUCAACCACAAUAGUGAGGAAGUGGCCAAUCAAUUGGCCUCAAGAAUAAUUCCUGAUGAUGAUACCUAGUCUGCUUUCUCUUUUUGCCACAGAGCUGUGUUCUUGUUUCCAUACUAGCAACAAUCAUGGAACUUGCACUGAUUGUAUAUUAUAUUAUUGUUUACCUAAUCCAACAUAAUACAUCUAUGAGAACCAAUAUGAGACAGUUUGAACAGAAGAUUCUAGUGAAAAAAUGUAUUUUAUAUCAUGAUUCUUUUGUAAUUGGUAUUUGGUAUUCUCUUUUUGGAUGCUUAAUUAAUGACGAAAGUUACUGUAUUAUAGAACAUGAAGAUUAAUUUGGAUCAUCCAAAAAUUUCUGGAGAAACUACAGUGCAAAAUGCAGUUACAGAAGUUGCUGCCAUGGUUGGGGAGAAUGUGAAGAUUAGAAGAGGUUAUGCAUUGUCCACAUCUUCACAUGGUGCUGUCUUAUCUUACCUACACACAUGUCCCCAACCAGGUAAGCCAAUAGUAGACUAUUUUAACAUUUUUGAACAAGCUUUAUUGGAUUUAGGAAGAUGUACGAUUCACCUGCAUACGUGGUUGGCAAUAAAUAAUGUUUGUUUGAAUUGGAGUUAGGAAGUGCAACCAAUAUGCAUUAUAACACAACAAAGGCACUAUAUAUGAUCUCAUGAUUGACUCACUAUUUACUAUUUUUAUAAUAUGUAGUUGUUUGCAUGAUUUGCAAUUUUCGGAGUACUGGUCUUUUUAAUAAGGGUGACCAUAGGUAAGGCUGUUUAUAUUGACCCUUUACAGAUUUGAGGGAGCCUCGUUCACUGGGUUUGCCUAAUACACAUAUUGUGCAUAUCUUUUUGCUAACAGUUGUUUCAUUUGUUGCUCCUUCCAUUUGUAUCAAUGAAAGAACCAUCUAGGUUGCAUAUCAUCUGACAUACUGCUGAUAGACACAGCAGUGGAUGGAAAGGUUUGUCUGUCUAACUCACAUACACUUGUGAGAUUCAAUAUCUACCUUCUCACAUCUCUAACAGAGAAUGAUGAUGGGAUCCUCUUGAAAAAAGAGAAGAAAAUGCCCUCAGCUAUAUAUUUUUGCAACCCAGUUCUGUUAUUAUAGUUUUUGAUCCCGGAAACUCAUAUUUUGAGGAAAAUAGAGGCUCUCAUAUAUUGUAAUAACUAUUUUUAGAAAUUACUGUCUGAAUAUACCUAAAUGUUGUAUUCUUAUUGUUGAUGGUUGUGGUCGUUGAUGCUAUUAAUGCUAGAUGUAUUUUGGAUUAGCUACCUUCAGAUUGACAUGAUUAUCUUUAAAGUUUUGUUAGACUCUACACUCCUGCAAUGAUAAUUUAGGUUUUAAGGUAUACUUAUUAAGGUACUGAUUUUAGUCUUUAAGUGUGUUGACUCAUUUCAAAAAUUAAAUUUGAUGGUUGACAGUUAAAUAUAGUAUUUUACCAGCAAGUCAUGUUUGUUGAUUAGUGUUGAUAUCAUGCUUCAGUAUCUAUAUUGUGCUACUUAUGUUUGGACUUAAUUUUUUUAUGAUGGACAGUUUUGAUCUUUUAGUCAUGCUUAAAGCUAGAUCAAAUUUCAUAGCAGCUUGGGAGGUGAACAUUAUCAGAGUUAACAUGGUUUAUCAUGAUGUAGCUAUUUGUUUCUCUUCCAGGAUUGGGCCGCAUUGCUGGAUUGUUGACACUGGAGAUAGAAGAUGGCAAUGCUUCACUUGAUGCUCUUCGUGGGGUUGGUUCGUCAUUGGCAAUGCACAUAGUGGCAUCGAAGCCUUUGUUCUUGUCUAAAGAACUUGUUCCUUCUGAGGCUUUAGAGAGUGAGCGUGACAUACUUAAGGCACAGGUAGGUAAUUAUCCAUAAUUGUAGAAUCAAAGAUUCUGAACUCCAUCCAUGUGUUUCUUAUUCAGACUACGAUAUUGGGACAAGAGCCACUUGUGUGGAGAUAAAACUUCUUUUAGCUAUGAUCCGUACUCUUUGUAGAGUGUUCCCUUGUUGUUGGUCCUCGAUACCGUUGACAAUUCUAUAAUCAGAUUGUUUGAUUCUUCUGAUUACAUUUUAUCAAUUUGCCAAUUCUGUGGUCUCUUUAUAUCAACAUUCAUUUGUGUGAAUAAUAUGUGUGUGAACAAUUUUAAUUUUACUUGAUUGGAAAUUAAUUUGUGAGAAUAUCCAUAUUUUGAGAAAAAGAAUUUAUAUAUGAUUGCUGCUAUUCUGAGAAAAAUAAUUUACUUACCAUUUCAACAACAAAGAAAAAAAAUCUGUCACUAGGUAUGGGGAGGUUGUAAAUGUGCAGUGGGACCCUUCGUGAGGGGUUUGGGAGGUUGCUUUCAUGAUUUGAACUAAUUUACCAAGGUUGCAUCAUCUCAGUCUUAUUAUUGUGUCAAGACUGGGCCCCGAAGUUAUAAAUGAAGCCAAGCAUAUACUUAGUUACAAGCAUACUAGGUAUAAUAAUCAUAGUGCUAGUGCCUUUGUGCAAGUCGCUUCCUUUCGUUGGCCUAACAAUUUUUCGCAAAAAGAAUAUACCAUAAUGGCCACACAAGAAGCAUUCUGCUGUUGCUUGUUCAUUGUUAUCUAUGUUCCUAGUGCCUUGUGAAAUCUCUGUAGUGUUUAUAAGCAGUAAUAUAUUUUGGAUUAAGUUUUCAUUUUUAAGGUAUAUUCUCUUGUUGUCUUCUAAUUUAACCUUGAAUAUGCAUCUUAAUAUAGUCUUUGUAGUUUUUCAUCUCCUACUAGACCUGCUAGAUGUCUAUGUUGCUAUGUUCCAAAUUUUCUAUCAGCCAGUUAAGUUGUUUUUUUCUCUUUUUCAUAUCAGGCAGAAAGUUCAGGAAAAUCUCAGAUGGCCGUUGAAAAGAUGGUGGAAGGCCGUAUGAGGAAAUACUAUGAAGAAGUAGUCUUAUUGGAACAGAAGUUUGUUAUGAAUGAUAGUGUCAAAGUGAAGGUAAUUAAGGGUUCAGACUUUAGACAUCUUUUAUUGGGUGGUUCUGUUUGGGAUCUUUUUCACAUAUAGUAUUUGCAGAUAUUGCUUACCGUUGAUUUAAUUGAGGCUUCCAUCUGUAGUCAUUCACCUUAUUUUGGAACCCUAAAUCAGUUCAGGCUUUAAUAUUAACUUUGCGAGGGUAUUUUUCUGUGUGUGAAAUUUCACAUUGGUUUUGAUGGUUUUGUCUGCAGUCACUGCUGAAUGAUUUAUCAAAAGAAGUUGGUUCCUGUGUAAAAAUUGGCAAUUUCCUCAGAAUGGAGGUCGGAGAAGGCAUCCAGAGGUAGACGUUGUGUUGAAUUUUUGUUUUACAAUACUAAAUCUUCUUACUGUAAGCUGGGUUUUAAAUAUGUUGAAAUUCAUUAAUAUUUUUUUUACAAUUUUAAUAUUUGAAGUUAUUUUAUUUCUUGGAAGAAGCAUUUAAAUGUUUUCAACUGUAUUUUUGAAGUUGCAACUACAGAGCAUCAACUGAGUUUCAGUUGCUCCGAAGGGGCCAUAAGCAAAUAUUGCAUGAUAAAUGAUGUGAUGAGGACAAUCACUUAUAAACUGAACUGGAGCAACAUAGUGAACAUGAGAUAAGAUAAUUGUUUUUAGUUUUUGCAUUCUUUAAUAGGAUUGAUUCAUGAGGAGCUCCCACAUGAGAUCUUUGUGGUGUUUUCAAGGGUUUUGCUCCCUUCGAUUCUUUUGAAGCCAGCGCAAACUGUAUGCAAUCAUGACAUGUAAUUAUGGAGGGUCCAUGGAAAGCAGCCUCAUUAUGGGCCUUCCGAAUCAACCACCGAUGCAAUCAAGGCUGUUAAGAUCAACUGAGCAUUAUGAUGAUCAUUUCCUUUCUUGAGCUAUUUCCCAACAUGUCAAUGCUCAGAAAAGGAAGGAGUAACAUCCAUGUUCCUCUUAUGGAGGGUCCAGAUUAUUUUAACAAAAUGACAGUGAAGAAAAUAUGAUUAACCCCAUCCUACUUAUGCCCACAUAAACUUCAUUUCUUAGGUACAGUGAGACAGGGACUAACAAUAUAUUCAGUGGUAGGUAACUGUUUAUGUGAGGGUCUCUAGCAAAAGUGAAGAACACAAGGAACAAAGAACUACAAGGAUCUUCCAAAGUAUCCACCAGUCCUUAUUUCUCGUUCUGUCAUUAGCAUAGUGUUGAAUAGAUGGGAAUGAGCAGCAUUGGUUGAUAUUGCCCUUUGGAAUGAGAUUUCCAAAUCCACUUAUUCUUAUAUAGACAAUGGGAUAAAUCAAUUCCAAAGAUAGAUCUGGAUAAGAUAGUACUAAACUUCAGCUUAGUUGGUUGAUAUUGCCCUUUGGAAUUAGGUUUCCAAGUCUACUUAUUCUUAUAUGGACGAUGAGAUUAAUCAAUUCCAAAGAUAGAUCUGGAUAGGAUAGUACUAAACUUUAGAUUAGUUGGUUGAUAUUGCCCUUUGGACUUGGUUUCCAAAUCCACUUAUUCUCAUAGGGACAAAGUGAUAAAUCAAUUCUAAAGAUAGGUCUGGAUAGGAUAGUACUAAACUUCAGAUUAGUAUUGCGCAAGUCCAUUUCCUAUUUUGAAUCAUAUUGGAUAAGGUGUAGUCCUGAACGAACAUAAUAUUUACAGAAGUAGGAUUCAGAGAAAUGUGGGUGUCAAAAAGCCAAUUAUCUGUCCUGAUAUUGAUGGAACCUACAAGUACCAUCACCAAUGAUAUAAGAGAAAGCAGGAUGCAGAUGUUCCAUGGCUUUUAGAAAAACCUCCAAGACCAACAAGUUUUGCGGUGAUACUCAAUAUUCCAAGAAUGAAUUCCAUCAUACUUAGCAUUAACAAACUCUGGAACAAACAUCAUUAGCCUGAUUAAGGCAGGUUAAGUUAGAUUCACAUGUGGGAAAUCAUAUUCUUAUCCAUGCAAUAUUUAAGAAUUAAAUGUGAUCAAGCAGUAUUUAUUUUAUUAGGUAAAAUGGUGUGGUUAAAUCUGUAACUCUUAAUUGUGGUCAUCAAUUUAGCUUUGCUUUGCAUUUCAAGUCUGUCUUUGAACACAUUGGCAUUCACCCGGAACUAUUCUGUUGUCAAGCUUUUUUGUUCUGGCUUGCUUACUUCUUCAAGCAAGAAAUUAAGGAUAUUAGAAUUACAGAUGUGUCCUUAUUGCUGUUUUUAAGCUACAGAUUUAGGUUUGGUAAGAACUGCAAAGAUUUAUACACCUGCAACAGGUUGUAAUGCAUGAUUGGAAAAUGUUAGCCGGCUUCGUCCAUUCUUAUCUGACAUGUUUGUGCAGGAUGAAAGUUCUUUAGUAGUUGGAACUUUUUGUACAAAAUAUUGGUAUAUGAAAAAUGUUUGUUGGUGGUUUUGUUUUUGUCAGAAGAACCUAGUUGCCGGCAAUGGUUAAUGAAUCAUACAAGAAAAAUGAGGAUACUCAAAGGAUACUAUCACCUCUUAUGGUUUCUAUGUGAUUGGACUUUGUCUCCUUUGUUUAAAGCUUGUGCCUAAAUUAUCUCCUAAAUGCAGGCUUGGAGAGGCACCUGAUGCCAUGGCUCAUGCUGCAUAAUUUUGAUCACAAGAUGGUUUUCGGAAUAAAAUGUCAUUUCGCCCACAGACCUCAAGCAAAGUGUUCCCCUGAUACUGGCCUGAAGCUCUGUAUGAAAUGAAACUUACUAUUUUAUUUAUUCACAUUAGAGCAAUUUUUAUUCUUGGAUUUGAUCACUGAAACCUUAGUAUACGGUGUUAUUAGGUAUCUUUUCUUUGAUUAUUGUUGUCUGUGAUGGAAAUUAACAGAACAGAUAUACGACAGAGAACUGUGGUUUUAUUAAUACACAUUAUGAUGAGAAAAAGAGUAGAUUACUGGACACAUUAUGAUAAGAAAGCAUUAUUGUUGUGUUACGUUGAUAGGCCAAGUAGGUUCGUUCCACUUCAUUGCAUGACCCUUUUGAGGUGUGGCGAUGGUUUGUGUUCCAUCAAGGAUAUCACUCUACUGUGACAUCAUUCACUGGGGCUCUUUGAACUAGAUGACAUCAUACUCAACUCAUUCAUAACCGACCGAUUUCCUCUUACCCAGCAAAGUUGUAAUUGCUUACCAAAUGUUCUUCUGCUACUAUCACAACCUUCUAUGAACACCAUGGAUCACAGAAACAAAACCAAAAAGUGCAAGCUACAAGAUUUAAUAGUGGCACCAUGACAAAGUUGCUAUAUCACAAGAGAGAGGACAUAUUUUAUUAAUACACAUUAUGAUGAGAAAAAUAUUAGAUUAUUAGACAUAUUUUAUAUCUGCCUAAGAAAACAUUAUUGUGGUGUUACGAUGAUAGGCGAAGAAGGUUCGUUCCACCAUCCUAAUUGCAUGACCUACACAUUAUGAUGAGAAAAAGAGUAGAUUACUGGACAUAUUGUAUAUCAAAACAUUAUUGUGGUAUUACGAUAAUAGGUGAAGAAGGUUCGUUCCACCAUCCUCAUUAUAUGAUCAUUUUGAGCUGUGAUGAUAGUUUGUGUUCCAUCAAGGAUAUAAUGAUAGUUUGUGUUCCAUCAAAGAUAUCACUCUGCGUUAAACUCGAGUCUCUUUAAACGUUGCUAUCAUCAAAUGAGUGUCGACUGUAUCACGUUGAUAAAUCUUAUAUAUAUAUAUAUAUAUAUAUAUAUAUAUAUAUAUAUAUAUAUAUAAUAUUUGUGGCUUUUAUUGGGAAAUGAGGGAUGGUUUUUGGAAAAUAAAAUAGGAUAGAGGAUUUUUUUUCUCCCAAAACAUAUAGAUAUAAAUAUUAUAUAUAUAUAUAUAUAUAUAUAAUGAAAAAGAGAAUAAACCAAAGAGCGGCCUUCUCCUAAUUUUGACGGGAAGGGAAAGAGCGCGGUCGGGAUUGGAACUCCGAAAUUGGCCUGCCGCUCUUAUCUCUUACAAUUCCAUCUGUCUCUUCCCCCAAAACCCUUGCGCUGGCCGCUGCUUCUUCCCUCUCCUACCUGCCGUUCAUGGUAAUGCUGGCUGGUUUCCCGAUCGGUAAUUCUAUUCGCUCGGAAGUUUUCCCUAAACCCUGUCGGACGGCGAUAGAUCGAUAAUUGGCCAGGAAUCGUUGGAGGUGUCGGGGUUGCAGUGUGAGAUUGGAUUUCCUGACUGCGCACACUAUGGUGAGGGCAACGAAGCAGCGACUUCCGGAAGGUAGGGGCGGAGGAGGAGGGGAGAACGGGCAGGGCAACGAUGCCGGAGCCGCGUCGUCAAAUCGCCAAGGGACAGCGCAUCGUCGGGUUCUUCGAUCCCGGUAUCUGGCCGUGAAGAACAUGAUCAGCGGUUGGUAUUCGAUUAAAUUGUGCCCUCUCCCUCUGAUACUUCUCAGGCUGAUUAGGUUUCUUUCUUUUUACUGAAAUGGGUCUCAGAUAAGAGGGAAGAUAUCACGAAAGUUGAUUCCGACAAAUUCAACUCAAUUAUCACGGAGGUUGAGAGCUUGCACGAACUUGGUAUGUAUGCCAGAUUGUAGCACUUGCCUAAAUCAUGCGUCAUGACUUUUCCCUUCUGCUUCUAUUCUUCAGUGUCGCCAUUGCAAAACGUAUAUUAAUUUCCUUCUCUUUGAAACAUGAGGAAACCCUCAUUAGGAUAACGCUGCUAUAGAAAAGAGGGUUUUUUUUUUAUUGUUUGCAAUCAGGAGAUAUACUUGCAAGGAAUGGUGGUCUGGCCGAUGCAUUGUAAUAUCUUUUGGUUGAACAGCAGGAUGACUAACGCAUAUUAUAUGAUUAUCUGCUUAUGUAAAGUUGUUUGCAAAUGCUAUAUUUGUUCAUGGGAUUUAACUCUCCCUUUACAGGAUUUUACUACCGUCCAUUCAGGGUGACAUUUGUGAAAUGUUAACUUGACAAUUCUGUCUGAUAUGAGUAUCAAAGUUAUCGAACCUUUUCUGUUUAUCUUUUAUAAUGUUCCCUUCCUCCUUUUCCUACUUUCUGUAGGUAUAUGUAUAAGUUUUUCUUGCUGCUUAAGGUACCAUGUAUGUUUACCUCAUGUACUAUUCAUGGUCUAGCGUAGAGAAGCAUUGAUUAGUCAUAGAUAUCAUUACUUUGGUAACUGAUGAACUCUCUAGUCUCUAUGUAAUCAAUUGCAUGGUAAAUUUUAGGUGAUUGUGCUGAAUGGACUUGAAGUUUUUAUCUAUCUACCUUUCUCAAAUGGUUCAUCAUUCCGCUUCUGUUUUACAAAAUUUCAUCUUAUGAUCACAGUUCAGAAGCCCAGGGAGCAAGUAGCAGAUGCAGAGGCUCUUUUAGACAUUGCCUGCACCCUGGUAACAUCAGUUAAAUCUCAAACAAAUGAAGGUGUGACCCCUUCAGAUUUUGUUACCACCCUCCUGAGGAACUUCGGUGAACAAAAUGGUGGAUCAGACUUGGGGAGUACUUUGAACAAUCUCCAUUGGUCAGAUGUUGGUCAUGCUGUCUCCCAUGUUUUCAGAAGUGCACCUGGAUAUCAUACAAUGUAAUAGUUCUCAUAGAUCUUCUGUUGAGUGUCUGAUUGAGUAGAUGGUGAUAGGUUUUUUCAUGAUAAAUCUAAGUUGACUUCAAAGUGUCUGUUGCAAUAAUUAGGUACAUGCGCCUUUGUGCUUGUCAUUCUUAUCAUUCGUUUUUCAUAAUGCCAGGAUCGGUCCCAUGAAUACUGAAUUGAAGCAGCGGAAGGUUGUUGCUCAGAGAAAACGAACAAGACCAACUGAAAGCACUCAUCCUGAAGAGGUUAGUGCCUCUGAGCUUGUUUAUUUAACUCUUCAAGGAUGGUAUGCCUGUCACUUUGACUGGAAAGUUGUUCUAAACAAUGUUAAAAAAUUUUUGUGACUGCUCUCAAUACCAUAAUAUUAUUUGGACUAGUUUUGGUGAAAACCAAAUUGUAUCUUACUAGCUGUUUAGUGACUCUUGGUAUUGCUUCUGCUGCUUCGGUUGCAAAAUGUGCAGAUUAUUAUCAUGUUAUAUGCACUUGUUUUUCCCUAUUAUUUUGUCCUCUGUUUCGGGGAGAUGCAUGCAAUGCUGUAUUAUGCCAAUAAGAGACCCUUGCAAGAUUUAUUAUUGUUGUACCUCAACAAUUGUGAAGGAGACAUGAUUGUCUGAUAUGUAAAGUCCACUCUAAGGUCUUAUCUGUUAUCUGGAAUAAUUAUGCAUGGUUAUUGUAUUUAAUGUUAAUUAUUGAAGUUCAAAAGCUUCCAUUAAUGCACAGCAAGAUUGGCUGAAUAAUGUACUCCUAGUAGCUGUUCUUUAUAAGUACAGGCUAAUACAUUACAUUAUUGGAGUUAUAUAUAUAUGUAUUGUUUUCUGGUGAUAUACAGCUUGCUGAUGCUGGAACUGAAGUGAAAACUGACACAGACAAGAAUAUGUCAACCAUGUUUGAUAUCUUAAGAAGAAAGAGAAGUGUGAAGUUGGAAAAUCUGGUUCUGAAUAGAGAAUCUUUUGCACAGACAGUAGAGAAUAUAUUCGCCCUAUCAUUUCUGGUAAAAGAUGGAAGAGCAGAAAUCAUAGUGAAUGAUAGCAGGCACCAUAUUGUCUGUAAGUUUUCAUCUUGGAAUGCUCAGUAUUUCAUUUGACCUUUGUUAGCCCCUUAAGGAACUUCUGAUAUGCUUCUAAUUUUGUUACCAGCUCCAAGAAAUGCUCCUGUGGCCACCGCUGUGGCUUCGGGUGAUGUCUCAUACAGUCAUUUUGUUUUCAGAUUUGACUUCAAGGACUGGAAGGUAUGGAGUAUGAACUGCAUAACUGGUUGUCUACUUUUUUUUUUUUGGUUUUGCUUUGACAUUCUAGUAUCCUUUUUCUCUAUCCAAAUCUAGUUGUUACGGAUCAAGUUGUGAACAUGAUAUUAAUUAUCAAUUUUGGGGAAACUAACUGGGAUUUUUUAGAGAGCCAUGGGAGAAGAAACCAUCACAUGUGUUUAUUACCAUUUUGUCUUCUUGAUUUGCCUAAUGCUUGAUAUGUCAGUUUUGAGAUUAUUCAUGUAACCAAAGAUAUCUUGAAUUGAAGAUGUGUCACCCUUUCAUUUAGUCUACUAAUUGCCCCGAUAUCCGGGAGGCAAUUACGACUUUAUGAAUGGUGCAUUAUCAUGAUUAGCCAUGUUUGUGUUACAUAUACUAGAUUGAGAUGCCUAUAUAGUCGGCAAUGGAUAUAUAUGGUUGAUAUGAUAUUGUUGUGUCUUUUGGCAGUUGAUGAUAGAUAAUGUAGAUGUUGGAGAAGAGUUGAUGCCACACAGGAUACGUGCAAAUACAUCUGGCUCAGAGGUUGGUGGUGUUGAGUCAGCUGCGCCUGCAACACCUAUCCGAAAGCUGACUAGAAAUCGGGGAUUGGUGAUACAGGAAGAAUCUAUUGUUGAGGACUCUCCAGAAACUGAUACUGGUGUCCAAAAUGUCAAGAAAAAACGCCUCUUUGGUUAGAGAUAUAGAUGAUAGUAGAGCUAGAAUUUGGCUAGCUUAAUCUUGAGCGUCAGCCGCUAUUAUGUUCUGCAGCUGCAGUGCUGGAGGGCAUAUACUGUAGCAGUGUUGUAUUCUAUGUUUUAAGAUGUAACGGGUAAAUUAUCGUUGACUGGCGCCUCAUUCGUUGUUAUACUAACUCGUGGAAGGUAUUAAUAGAUCUUUUGCCAAUUUUGAGUGAUAAGCCAGAUUGUGAUUGUUACAUGUGGUAAGAGUUUUGGAUCCAACUUGGGCCCACUCCCCAAAUUAGUGGAGGAUUUGGAUGGUUCUAAAAAUUAUCAUAGUUGGGAUUUUCUUAGAUCCCAUCAAGGAUACACUCGAUGGGCAUUACGUAGCAUGUCAGGAUGAUUGUUGAGUUGAGGUAAAGAUGAAUCUUUGGAAUGAUUAUUUCGAUUAUUAUAGGUUGAAUUGUCGGGGAUUUUGGUUGUAGAUCAUGGGGGCCACCAGUUGUCAUUCCAAUCGAAGAGACCAUCUUGUCGAUCUCGAGUCACCACCCCUCCUAUUGGUAUUAAGUUAUCAUUCCAUUGAUUAGACGACUAUGAUGUGUAACGGAUUGUCUACAUAUCAAAGCCCAGCAUCAUCUGUAUUUCAUCACACAUAGAAAGGAUGGGGAGGGACUUGAUGCCAUUGUUGGGUAGAUUAUUCGACUAUGUCAUCCAUUCCACCCCUGAAGGUGUUGACUUAAAGUUGUUUAGUAGUGUAAGAUCCACUUUAUUUGCAUCAUUGUUGCUUGUGUGGCUUGAUUCGUUUGCAUUGAUUCAUUCAGUUGGAUUCGAUUGAUGGCCUUGUCAUCAUCGAAUGAUGCUUCUAUGCUCGAGUCGGACGUAUCAUGAUUGAGACACAUUUUAUGGCUAAAUUAGGUCACAUCAUCUUCGAGUGAUGUUUCGUGAUCUAAGUUAAUCGUAUCGUGAUCGAAGAAUGCUUUACGUUUUUGUUUGGUCACGUCAUCAUUGAGUGAUGCUUCACAGCUAGAGUUGAUCACAUUGUCAUUAUGGGAUAUUUCAUGAUCGGAUUCAAAUAUAUCAUCGUUUGGGGAUGGUUUGUGAUUAGGUUUAAUCAAAUCAUUGUUAAAGGAUUCAUGAUCGAAUUUGAUAAUGUCAUCAUUAGAAGAUAUUUGAUGGUCAAAUUCAAUCAUAUUAUCAUUGGGGGACACUUCAUUGCGAUUGUGUUAUCGUUAGAUGAUGCUUCAUGAUCGUAUUCACGUUCACGUUGAGAUACUUCACGAUUGAAUUCAAUUAUAUUAUCACGCUUCGAAUUUGAUCAUUUCAUGCAUCACACAGUCCCGCUAACUUUUGUUCAUAAGAGACGAAGCACAGUAAAAAUCUUGAACUAUAGGGACAAAUAUAAAAGAAGGGUAAAAUAAAUAUAAAACUUAAGUUUAUUUCAAAAUUUAUUUCCAACAAUUUGAUGUGCAAAGUUGAUCAACAACCUGCUAAUCACAGACUACAGAAACGUAGAGAAUCAAAAAUUAAAUAUUUCUACAAAGACAUCUCUACUUUAUUCACGCAUUAUCACAAACAGAAAGAAGGGUGAGAAAUCGACCCUGCGACAUUUAUUCCAUCUUGAAAUGACAUCAACUUAUAAAUGUCUGUCCACUCGUGUGGAAUCUUCCUCAAACACAAGGGAGAACCGGAAGCCUAUCUUCCAUGGAUCAUGGAACUGGAAUCUGCAAGGUCCGACGAAUCCCAAUCCAAGGUGGAAUCGUGAAUCGCCGAGAGGGACACAAGCACCUCUGUCAUGCUUGGGCGCGACCCCGGAUCGCGUGCCACACACAGCAUCGCCAGUUCCGCCAUGGCAUGAGCCAACUCGAGAGGAUACUGGCGUCCCAGGCACGGGUCGACGAAAGCCAUCAGCCUGCCACGCGCAUCCUCUCCGCUUAUCACCGAUCCCACGCACGCCCACAGCAGCGUGUCUUGCUUCUCACCCUCCUCCGUGAACGUAGCUUCCUUCCCCGACAGCAGCUCCAGCAGCACCACCCCGAAAGCGAACACAUCCAGCUUAGGAGUGACGAGGCCGUGCUCCAGAUACUCCGGCGCCAUGUACCCCUGCGUACCCACGACGUGUCGCGUCAGGUGAGGCCUUUCCCCGUCCUCCAUCGGUCUCGCAAGGCCGAAGUUGGCGAGCUUGGCUCUGAGCUCCCCGUCGAGCAGGAUGUUGCUGCUCUUCAAGUUCUGGUGGACGUACGGUGGGCUGGCGUAGUCGUGCAGGUAGUUGAGCCCAUGAGCAACGUCGUGAGCGAUCUGAACCCUCUCCUUCCAGCCAAGGCAGCUCGAGCUAUCGUUCUUGUUGUGGUGAUGAAGCCAGUCUCCCAGGGAGCCUUUUUCGGCGAACUCGUAGACAAGGUAGGUGUUGCCGUCGUGAAGGCAGAAGCCCGACAGGCGGAUCACGUUGGAGUGGUUGAUCUGCUUCAGGAUGUUGAUCUCAUUCGAGGCGUCGCCUUUGAGUCUCUUGAUGGCGGCGGCGUCCCCGUUGAUGACUCCUCUGUAAACGGAUCCCAUGAUCCUGUGGUCUUCGCCGAAGGCCGCGGUAGCGGCCUCGAGCGCUCGGAAUUCGUAGACCGUCAGCGACUCGAUAGCACUGCGAACGCUUUGGACGGAGACUGAAGUGGGAGGCCCCGACCUCUUGUCGGACAGCUCGGAGUAAUUCGCCGAAGACUCUGCAGUCUUGAACGGAACGGGGACAUCAGGAACAGGGAUGCGGCGCCGCCGCCGCUGCCUGUAGCACAGGAGCCAGAUCAGGCCUCCGGCGCAGCACAAAGCCAGAAGGCCAACUCCGAUUCCGACCCCAACGAAGACCCAUUUGUGGCCAGAGGAACUGCUCCCGCUCCCGUCGUUGGGCGGCGUGUCGGCUGUCUGGGGCGGAGGAGGCGCCGAGGGUGAGCUUGCGACUUCGUCUUUGGUGGGCUCGGUUUCGAGGGGCACCAAGAGAGUCGUGAAAGGAUAGAUGGUGGAGGAGGAGGAGAUAUUGUUCGCGUGCAGCACCGCCUGGUAGUCGGCGUGGAAGCGGUCAGCGAUGGUGGGGACGUCAUCGCCCCAGGUGAUGAGGUAUGUGAGCAAGUACUUGAUGCCGCUGCUGGUUUGUUCGGCGGUGGGGCAGGCGCAGCGGAGGGGAACAUCCACCCGGAGGCCGGCGGUGAGGUUGAGGCUGCCGUAAGGGUUCUGCGCUAUGAGGGCCUGGCAGGUGGAGAGGCCCUGGUAGGUAUCGUUGGCCACUAUGAAGUAGGUGUCCCUGGAGGUCAAGGUGUAGGAGACGUUGUGCUGGUAGUAGCCGCCGGAGCAGGAGCAGGGGACCGGCACGAGGACGAGUUGGUCGUUGGGGACGUUGGCGAACUCGGUAGCGACGCCGUUGAUGCGGGAGAUGUUGUCGGCGUCGGCGCCUAAUAGGUAUGCGAUCAGUACCGGCGACUGGUAGGCGAUCUGGGAUCGGAAAGUGAGGUAGGAGGAGCAGGAGCGGACGCCGUUGCAGGUGUAGCCCAGAGUGGAGGAGUCGGUGGUGGUGCAGUCGAGUUGCCUGUUGUUCUCGUACUGUUGCUGGGCGUUGCAGGAGACGAGACACAAGAGGACGAGGGCGAGGAAGAAAGCUAAUUGGGGAUCGGACCUCGUCGUCAUGGCCAUCCGACGGAUGAAUCCGACAGAUCUACUUCUUAUCCGAUCUGUGUUGGCAAGAGACGAAACCCCUCUAAAUCCCCUCUCCCAGAGAACCAAUUCAGGUAGGGAAGAAACCAAGAAGAGCGAUGAACAGAUCAGAACACGGAGAAGAAUCGGUGGUCUUCACUUCCGUUCUCGUCUUUGACUCGCUUUCUUUGACUAACGACGCAGUCAAUGAUAUAGAACUUGUUGACCGAGAUAUAUUUCAUUAGGAAGAACGUUGACGGAGCUGUUGCCGGGUUCUGGCUUCUGAACUCGUCUCUCUCUCAUGGCUUCUCUGACCUGAAAGACAUCAUUCCAAUGGCCGGCCUUGGCGUACAUGUGAGACAGGAGCAGGUAAUCGCUGCUAUGAUAGGGUUCCAGCUCCUCGAGGUGCUCCUGCACACGCUGACCCAAUUCGAGGUCCCCGUGGACUCGGCAUGCGCCCAGCAGCGUCCUCCAAACCACAGCAUUGCAUUCCAUCGGCAUGUUCCUGAUCACAUGGAAAGCUUCCCUCACCUGUCCUGAUCGCCCAAGAACGUCCACCAGGCAUCCGUAGUGCCUUAUGCUGGGAGAGAUGUUGUAGUCCCUCGUCAUUUUGUCGAAGUACCUCCGACCUUCUUCUACUAAACCUCCAUGGCUGCAGGCGCAGAGGACUCCCAGGAAUGUAAUGUCGUUUGGCUCUUCGAGUUCGCACCGACGCAUCCUUUCGAAGAGUGAUAUCGCUUCGGCCGCCCGCCCGUGCAUGGCUAGUCCCAGAAUCAAGGAGUUCCACGAGACCGUGUCUCUCUCCGUCAUAUCGUCGAAUACCUCGACGGCUCUGUCGAUCGCUCCGCACUUUGCAUACAUAUCGAUUAGAGAGUUGGUCACUCUGAGACGGCAACCAUGGGUGGAACUGCCGGCGAUGGAAUGCACCCAUCUGCCGAAGUCCAACGCUCCCAGCCUCGAACAUGCGGCAAGGAUUACCACCAACGUGGCCUUGUCCGGCCCGAGGAAGCUGGUCCUCAGCAUUCUCAGGAACAUCUUCAGCGCCUCGAGGUGCAGGCCGCAGUGCACGUACCCGGCGAUGAGACUGUUCCAUGACACCAGAUCUCUCUCGGACGAUUCUUCGAACACCUGCCGCGCGGCGACCAUGUCGUCGAAGAGAGCGUACGUGUGGAUGAGACUGUUGGAGACGAAGACAUGAGAAUCCACGCCGACCUUGAGCACGCAGCAGUGGACCUGCUUGCCCAACUCGACCGCCGACAACUGGCCGCAGAUAUUGAGUAGGAAAGAGAACGUGAAGUUAUCGGCGUUCUUCCCCUCCUCUCUCAUCCUUCGGUAGAAAAGGAACGCCUCCGCGGGUCUGUUGGCCCUCCCGAGCCCUCUGAUCAUGGUGUUCCAGAGGAACCCAUCCGGCCAGUUGAGCUGCCGGAAGACGGCGGACGCGUAGUCCAUGCAUCCCCUCUGCUCCGAGCUGGAGCAGAAGGAGAUGAGCCUGCCCACGACGAAGACAUGCUGCUCGAAGCCGGUCCGGACGAUCCGGGCAUGGACCUGACUCAGGUCCCGCAGGGUGGAGCAUGACUCCAGGAAGGAGAUGUGGCUCUGCUCCCUCUCGUGGAAACCAACCGCGGUGGAGUCGGAGGUCGGCGAGGUACGUGGAGGCUGGAAGAGAGCGACCGGCAGUCGCGUCGGAGAACCCAAGGAGAACCGCUUGAGCAGCAUGUGGUUACUCCGAGUCAUUACUAACUCGACUCGGGCGAUCCCAUCAUGAAUACAUGCUGGCGAACCCAAAGGAGGGCCUGUCGAGCAGCAUGUGGUGACUCCGAGUCAUUACUAACAAUUUAAUAUGAUACACGUAAAUGGUCACUUUGUAGUAAUCUAUCUUUGGAUCAUUUGUCACAUUCAAUAUUAGGAUGUUUUGACUAUUGUUUGUCAUGAUUUGAUAAGAUAAUUAAUUUAUUACAUCUGAAUUUAUUGAUCCAAAAUGUUUAAACUCAAACUAAUGGUAAUAGACUCAUUAAGUCUUGAUAAUCUAAUUCAAGUACUUGAUGUUUCUAUCGAAGACCUAAUAUAUUUUUAGAAAUAAAUGUUAGUAUGAUCGAUACGAGACAUAGUGCAAUCGUGACUUCAUGUUUGAUAUACUUUAUAAUACAACUUAUAAAUGGUUAUUUUUUACUUAAAUAUCUUGGUAAUACUAAAUCAAUAAUAAUAUCAUUUGUCACGAUGAACCUCAAUAAUAUAAUUACUUAGGUUGAAAUUAAUAAUAAUAGACUCGUGAUAUUAGUCGAGCAUAUCCUACAAAACGAAAAUAUUCACCAUUAGAAUAUCUAAAAAAAAUAUAUCGGUAUAUCGAAAAUCAAAUCUCUUUGAUAUGUGAUGGGCAAGACUAGAGGAAAAAAAAGGACAGACAGAAUGAGAAUAACGAAUGCCAUGUUAUGUUGGUGAGUAGUUCUCAUCAAGUCGUAAUCAUCUUUUAUCUUGAGCUGUUCUAAGUUGCCUAAUAAAUUUUAUGUUGGAAUUUGUACUGCAUUAUACAAUGCUUAGAAAAAUUGAGACAGGAAAUUUUGUUAGAGAAAUUAUAUUUAUGUCAGCUGUGUUGCAGAAUAAGGUUUAAUUUCUCUAUGGAUAUUUUAAUGAAGCUAUGUUGGCUUGUUGAAUCAACAAGAUUUUGACUGCAUAAUUUUUAUGUACAAAAAUUAUUCUAUAAUGCUCUAUUAGACGUACCAAAUUACAAGAUCCAAACCUAAAUGCUAUAUGUGUACCGUUGGACAAUAACUCAUUCUCUGGUUCCAAAAUCAUACUCACUUAAAUGUUUUUGAAGAUUUUUUUGAUCACACACGUGUUGUAUAUAUAUGAAUCUAUUACGAGUAUAAAAAUUAUAAUAUAUUAUUAUUGUUAUAUGAAAAAAAUUAAUAUCAAAAUAUGAAAUCAAAUAAUAAUAUAUCUAAAUUUACGAUACAUACCUUUCGAUGUUAUUCAGAAAACUUCUAUCUGAUCUGCGAGCGUACCAUUCGCCCUAUUUCGUGAUAAUCUUUUAAUCAUUUUACAUAUCCAAUCUCUUUUAUCUGUAUAUGUACGUACUAAUUAUUAUGUGUAUAGUCCAUUAAAGGUCUUAUUUAUUUAUAGACGAGGCAAAGGUUUGAUCGAUAACAGUAAUCAAAAUCUGAUCUAAUAAAUCUUAUCCAAUUAAAUAGGAUCGCAUAAUCUAACAUCUAUGCAUAUAAUAUCCAAAAUCUUCGCACAUAACAUUAGCUUAAGAGGCUUCAUGAACCAUUUUCAUUGUAAUCAUGCAUAGUUUGUGAUCCAAUUUGAUCAGAGAUUUAAUAGGUGAUAGCAUAUUUAGCAUAAUCUAAGCCUCUAAAAAAUUAAUACUUGGAAUGUACUCUUUGAACAGGUUGAUAUCAACUCAUUCCGAGUAGUAUGCUCAAAGUUAUAAUUAUGAUCAAUAAAUAUGUUUCUUCAUCAAUUGUAAAAACAGUUCUAACACAUAUUUAAGUUCAAUUCAAGUUCGACAUGUGAUCUUGAUGGCAAUUCAAAUUAAUUCCACAUGUGAGUUCUCUUGUUUCGGAACUUUGACUUCACUUCCGGCUGGUACCUUUUUUGGAAUGUAAUCUCUCCAUAGUAAUCAAAUGAUAUUUUUCCCUUUUCUAGAAAAAAGUUGAGUCAAAGCGUUAAAGAACAAGCAAUGUUCAUGUUUCGUAUUAAAGGAGUGGUCGUAUUCCAACUUUAGUUAAAGUAGUUGACUUUAGCUGUUAGUGAUGAAUGAUAUAGGGCUAUGUCCUAAUUCAUUUUCCUUCUGCAUCGACACUGCUUUAUAAUCGAUAGCUGUGUUUGUUGCUGUGACAGUGAGUGUGUCAUCUUUGUUGGAUGCCAUUGCUUGGUGUGGAGAAGAAUGAACCUUCCCUCACGUCAACCUGCCUGUGUUUGACUUUUCUCUGAGGAGCUGAGAAGAAUGAUAGGAAAAAGAAAACGGUACAAAAAAAGAGAAUAUAGCCAAUAAUUCUUCCUUCAUCUCCUCUUUGACGACGUCUCUGCUUUGCAUGAAAGCCGAGUCCACGUGCUUGAAAUCCAUUGCAUGGAAAAGGACAUCUCGCUCUCGCUCUCUCUCUCUCUCUGUGGCCUACACACACUGUGAUAAUAUUUGGCCGCCUACCUCCUGCUGAGAAAUGGUCUUUUGCGAGUCUUUGACUGCAAGAUGAUAGAGAAGCGUCUACAUCGUUGACUUAGAUCAAAGAUGCUAUUGUUGUGGACCGGGUGAGAACAGCAAGGACGGUAUAUAAACCGAGGGAAAGAUGGAUGCACCUUAGUCCACAGUUCCGUGUAUCUAUCUGAACAUCUUCCGCCCUCAUAAAUGGAAUGAGUCACACCGUGUGAGCUGAUUUGUAAGGUCUAAAGAAUGUGCUUGACGUCAAUUUCGGCUCGAUACGGGCCACUCUGGAUGAGCAGUCUCAGUUCAUAUGAGGUCGCUGACAUGCACGCAUUCCCUUAUUUGCAUGGCCUGCGUGUGAUGCACCCUUCGUUAUAUAGAGGGGGGAAGGGGGGAUAAGCAACCGUUCGUGUGAUAGGGAAGAUGGAGGAGAAGAAGACUGCACCACGUCAUGAAUCUGCAGUGCCUUCGGCUUGUAAUCAUCGCAUGGCGAUCCAAGACAUCAAUAGGGCGCAAGAGUUGCUGAGCCAACUACAUGCUGUUCUUCUGCAGUUGCAUCCUUCCAAUGGAGGGGAUAUGCUUGAGGAGAUACGAAAGUUCACAUCCUCGGCGCUCUCAAGGCUUCAGUCCUGUGUCUGUGGAUCGUCCGAUGCCUCUGAGGACUCCCAAAGAGACAUAUAUGUCAACGAUACGAGGAAGAGUUUGAAGAGAAGCUGGUAAUUCUAUUCUUCAUCUUGCAGUUUGAACUUCUCUUUGAAGUAAUUGAUCAUCGUAUUAAACUUUCCAUCGGAUUAAACUUGUUGCAGGAGCAAGCCGGAAACGUGGUCGAUAGCUACAACUUCCCCCUUUGACGACGGCCAUCAGUGGAGGAAGUACGGGCACAAAACUAUCAAGAACGCCAAGUAUCCAAAGUAAUCAUCUUCACCAGUAAACUCCCUUCAGCAAUUAAGGUUUUCCCAGUACAUUAAUUCUAGUUGUAAUGCAUGCUUCCAUGAACACAGGAACUACUACAGGUGCGUUUUCAGGGACAAGCAAGGAUGUUUAGCAAAGAAGACGGUACAACAAGAGGAUAGCUACGGCGAUCCUCCCAGGUUCAGCGUCCAGUACAGAGCGCCACAUACCUGCAAAACCAUCAAUGUCGCCUUCCCUUCUGUAAUGGAAUCUGCUCCAAAGGAACCCUCUGUUCAUGCCAGUGGUUCCAGAUGCACCUUGAAGCUUCAGGAGAAUCACCUUUCUCCCUUAGCCCACGCUGCAAUCGAGGCUCAGGAUGAAGGCUUGUGGAUCAGCGAUCAAGCACAAGACUGUGAGCUGCUCGGGUCGGAUAUGGUGGCCACAGAACCCUGGGACUUGGACAUGUUCCUGGAAGAUGAUGAUGGGUGGUACAAUAUUAAGGAUCCUUAAAAAUCUGUGCAAUUCUAACUUGUAAUCAGCCAAUAUAUAGUGUGGCAGUCCUUUCUCUGUAUCACAAGUUUAAGAUGCUCUAUGGAUUGUAGAAUGAAUAUGCUUGGUAAUCAUAUAUGUCUAUCAUGGCAUCAUCUUCUUCCUUGUGCUACUUUGAUUCUUGAGAAAAGUAAGCCAAUUAAGUAUAUCAAUGAGGAAACGAACUGUCUCUACUUAUGAAGAAACCAAAAGAGACGAUUACAAGCAAAAAGACAAUAGAAAUCUUAUGAAUUCAGAAAGCCAAUAGUGAAACAAGAGCUCAUGCAAGGAAGCCUCUCUUGAUCACCAGCAACUCCUCCACCAUCUUCUCCUUCUUCCUUUCGUCCGCGGUCUCUCGGCCGCCGUCCCAGUUGUUCGAAGCAGGAAGUAUAACGGACUCCCUCUGGGCCUUGACAAGCCUCCCCAGCUGCUCCUCACUCACCCCGAAGGCUGUCGCCAGCUCCGGCCCACUCAUGCUCCGAAGCACUGAGCUCGCACCGGCGAGGAACUGCGGAUGAUUUCUCUUGGAGGAUGUUGUGAAGCCAAAGAACUCCAUCGGCCCUCCGCGGGACGCGACCUGGCAGAAAGGGUGGUAGCGCGGGAUCCAGAACACGUCGCCCUCCGACACCUCGGCGUUCAUUGCGGUCGAACCAUUCGGGUAGACCACCUCAAUGCUACCGGAGCCGCUCAGAAUGACGCCGUACUCGGUGGCCACUGGGUUGAAGUGUGGCGCCAUCAUCGAUCCCUGCAAUAGAUCAUAUAAAUUCGACCGCAGUUGACUAAAGGAAACAAUCUGUCCAACUUCCGUAGUUCAAGUUUUCACAGAUUAACAAGUGCGACCACUGACCGCAGUGAGGUUGACCAGAUAGACGCCAACGCCGCAGCUACUGAGAAGGGAAUAGUCAUGCUCGUCAAUGGCGGUACUCCAUCCAUAGCUAUUCUGAAAGCUCGGCUCGUUGUUGUAAAGGUUGAACGCGUACGGGGCGUGGUGGGAUUCAGUCGAUCUUGCUUUCUCGCGACCACUCCUGCCAAAUAAAUAGUCGAGGAGAUUCUUCCGUGUCCAUGUGGUGGCUGCCUCCUCGUCAUCGUUGUUGGGAUCCAACUCUUCCUCUUGCUGACCACUGAAGUGAACGAUCGGACCACCACUUUGUCUCCGCAUCAUUGGACGCAGUUGAUCAGAGGUGAUCUGUGAGGAUCCAAGAACUCAAAUGUAAUUUGAAGAGAUUCGACUCGUCUAAAAUUGAAUCUUAUAUCAUGUACAAAUGAAUUGUGUUACGUUGAAUGCAUUUGCGAGUGUGUUGACAUCGAAUCCAGCAAGCACUGAGGUUGGAUUUGUUCCACCGCCGAUGAAGAACGACUGCCAAGUAGACAUCAACUAAGCAUGAAACUCUUGGAUCCAUGGUAUCAGAACAAGAAUAGAAGGCCACUCACUUGUUGCGAAUUGUAUGUCAAACUCUGGGAAGUGUCGAUGCCACAAACCAUGUGUGACCUCUCCGAGUUAGUGUUCGCGAUGUAGAAGGGUGAUCCGGCAGGGAUCACGUUGAUGUCCCCUCUCUUGAGCUUUCUCUGCACCAACUCGUCCUUGUGAAUCCACCCAGCCUCCACCUCACCUUCAUAUACAUGAUCACAAAAUCAUUCCACGAGUAAACGUAUUACCAGUUCAUGACUGCAGAGAGAGGCUUACCUUCACGUACGAAUUGGAUGAGAUUGGCGUCGACGUAUUGGGGAAGGAAGAGGCUGUUGGGCUCCAGGCGCAGGAAACCGAUGUGCAUGGUGCUUGGAUGACCCUUCCACCGAUCACCGGACACGACCCUAACUUGGCCGGCCUCAGUCCUCACAGCCCUCCUCGUCCUCCCCAGUAUGAAGCGACCUCGACCAGUAGCGUCUUCUCCGCACUCUCUAACUUUCUCUGCCUCUUCUCUCUCUGUUCCUCUUUCUUGGUGUCCGCUCGCCGGCACCGAGAAGAGCAGCAGCAGCGUCAGAAGGGCCACCACCGCCCGGUCUCCCACAGCGACCGCCAUUUCCAAGGGCUUAUUCCUCUUCAGCCUUUCUUCCCUGCUAGUCCAAAUGGGAAUGAGGUGAGAGGAAUGCGAUGGCCGUGAGGGUUUUAAAGGGCGGAGAGAAUAGUGUGGUGUCGACACGUCGCUCUUUUAUGCUUCGGAAGGUCUGGGUUUACGUGGAGAUCGACCAACACGACUUUACGAGUUCACGGAGAGAUCUACUGAAAUGACUAUUGACUGCUUCAUCGGUGUUUAUUAUUAUUAUUAUUAAUUUAACCAUUUUAACUCAGUGAAUCAGACUCAACAAAUUAAUUAUCUGAUCAUUUAUCCCAUCAUAUCGAAUCAUAAUAAAUUAAUUUAAAUUUUAUCAUUUUAAAUUAUAUCUAUUUAACCUAAAAAUUUAUAACCCAAAAUAUAUAAAAUAAUUAUCAGAAAUAGUUUACAUGAACAAAUUGGACUGGGAGUCCAUAGAUCAGCGAACCAAGGGCCUGCUUUAGGCCGGCGUUAGCCCACCAUAUCCACCACCACCACUGCACGAGCCGACCGGCGGGAUCGGUUCUCCUCCUCGGCUCCAUUUCCGGUGCCAUGAUCGAGCAACAACCGCCGGCAAGUUGGGCAGGAAGAGUGCGAAGCAAGCCACUUGUCGAUGCACUCGACGUGGAACACAUGGCGGCACAUGGGCAGCACCCGGACCUUCUCGCCGUCGGCGAACUCCCCCAGGCAUAUCGGGCAAUCGGUGGCCGGGAUGUCAGCUCCCAAGGCGUACACCGCCUCUGGGAGGCGGCGGAGCGACUGCUUGUUGAGCCUGGUCGCAGCGAGCCUCGCAGCGGCCUGCUCGGGGGUCUCCAAGGCCAGCACCGCCCGCACCGGAGCGCGCACCGCACCAUGGAGUUCAGCCCGAGCACGAGUAUUAGAGCGCAGAGGAGUGCCACGAUGACGAUAACCAUGCCGGCGUCGUAACCGGCAUUGCCGCCGCCGUUCAUGACGGCGUGCGGCCUGCUUCCGUUGACCCCCGGCGGUGUCUCGGGGAGUGCACCGAGCAGCCUAUGCAUGGAUUCUACCAGGUACUUGUCAGAGUUUGCUUUGUGCCAGUGGCGGCAAAAGGAACAGUGAAGAGAAAAUGAGAGCGAUCACAGAUCUCGGAACUCCUCUUACCAGAACUCGCUGCCACCAAUAACUACUCAACAUAUGUUGCUUUGUCUUCUCAGCUUCGGAAGAGAAGAUUCUUCACAUCCUUACAACCUUAGACUUGCAUGAAAUGGGCGAAGUGGAGGAGCAACUGAGAUUUCCAUUUGGAUGGAUUCAGAGACAUGGAAACAUAUUCACACUGCUUUGGAAGAGAUUGGCUUCUCUCUUUUGAUAUAACUACAGCACAUUGUAAAAGAGAUUCUCUUGUUGAAAAGGACAGUAAUCUUGAGAAGGCAUGAGGAUCUUAAUCAAUGAAUUGAUGUACCACCUAAGAACCCACCUAAUCAUCAUAGUCUAAAGCAUCCAAAACCUCUUGCUUAAGCUUUCAUUUAAUAGCGAAACAGUUGUAGUUCUUAACAAUGGGUUGCUUUGCCUCACAGAAGACUCAGGCAAGCUCUAAUUGGUCACUGCUGUCCUUUUGCGUGACAUGAAUAGGGGUGAACGAUGUUUCUGCUUGGAGUUAGAUACUUCUCUUCUCGUCUAAUGCGUCCUUGUCCAUGUCUAUCUUAGAGUCCAUAUGCAUGAAUGGAGAUGAUUCAUUUUAGAAAGCUUGAGCAAUCAUUCCACUUUGCACCUACCUCUUCAUUCCUUCAGAAGCAUGAUUUCAUCAAGCACACCGCGAAUUAUAUGCCAUGGCUGUUGGCAUGUCCUUCUCCUCUGUUCUUCUUUUAUGGGUUUUGUUGAAUAAAGAAAGGCAAUUAGGAUGUCAUCUUGCAACCUUACUUCAAUUUGUGUCUUUGUGGCUGUGUUGACUAUUGACGAUAUAUAUUUUGAAGACAUGAUUGCAACCUUGCCCUGCUUCAUGAUGUUAACAUAUCAUCUAUAGGAAGACAGGGGAAGAAAGAAUUUGCUGUUGCUUGACGUGUUAAGCAACGACUCUGCGAUGGGGAAGAAGACACAGUUACUCUCAAGUCUCAAGGUCCGAAAAGGAUGAGUUCGACUGCGGCUCGAACUCCAUCAUCCAUACCAAAACACUCACUCACACUUUUGACUGCGUGUGCAUCACGGCACACGUCUAUGACACUUCCAGCUAAAAAACACUUGAAGCCUUAUGUGGGCUUCAAGUUUUGGAACAUAGAAUCCCACCUCGUGGCUCCAUCUGCAGUCUCCCAGCACCCAUCAGCAGCAGCAGCAUUGCUGUUCUCACGACGACUGCGGCCCAUCGGGGUACCGCUGUGAGAUCGAGAAGGCAGAUCUGCGAUUCUCAUGCCGCGAUCAGUGAUCAUCAGCCUGCCCUGCUUCAGGAUCACCAGCUUCGUCUUCCUCCUCGACGUGGCCCCUCUCCAGCAGUCGCCGCACGCAGUCUUCGGCACGACCAAGAUCGCCGGACCGUCAGAACGAGCCAAGGUGCGGAUGUACUUCGCGAGGCGAGUCUUGGACUUCCUGAUGACCGUGGCAAGCUUGGCGACGGGAAGAGGAGACGCCCUCCUACUGUUCUUAGCGAGUUUGAGGAUCUCCAGCCGGUGCUUUGCGAUGGAGACGCCCAUGCUCUGUAGGAAGUCGUGGUCGAAGUGUGCUAUAUCGUCCUCCUCGAGCUCGUUGUUCAUGAACAGAAGCCCAUAGUCGUAAACAAGGGAUGGCUCGAGGCACGAUUUGGAUAGCCAUGAGUGCCAGUCCAUGGUUCUGUGCUCCAUUGAAGUAGUGCUAGCCUAAUGGAUUUAUAGGAAAUCAGAGGAGGAACUAAGAGAUCGAGAUCAGAUGUCAGGGUGAGGACACUACCAAUAUUCAAGGUUAAGGUCAUGAUGCUCUUGUAGCUCUUUCUGAGGCUUCCCCAGCGCAGCAGAGAAUCAUCAUGUGUAGUAUGCUUGAAGUUUAAGGUAUCACCUUUCUUCUGAGGAUAACAACAGAUCAUAAGCUUCAAAAACUUCAGUUGGCAUGAACGAUGCCAACAGCAGUGUGUUGAGCAGAGUGAGAUAGAAGCUCCCAACGCGGCAUAGGAAAAGUGGGUGUUGUGGGUCCCCGUUGACUAAAGGUCAACAAUUAUAAAAGUUGGCUAAUUUAAGAAAAGAAAGGCUAAAAAUUGUAUCCAACGAAUUAGAGAACGUAAAUGAACAUUAAUAAUAAGAAAACUCAAUUCGAGACUCACCCAAGGUUUCCAAUGCUAAACUAUGCGGGUCCCCCAACUAGAAUCCAAUCAUCAAACAGGAAGGUGUGAGAGAGUCCGAUACAUCCACGUGGGAGAGUAGUUACGUAGCAAACAAUAAUGAACUCGCAGCGCAACUCAAAACUCAGCAAGCAGGUAGUCGAUUCGAUACGCACAUCUGUUGUUUACAUUCGACCGUUGAUCUACGACGUUUCUCCACACCCAACAGGAUUUUAAAUACAAUUUUCACGUCAUGUUGCACCGGAUCGGGAUCAUGUUAAGUUAGGUCACUUUCCGAGGUUUCUCGAUCGACGGAUCUCUCGGCUUCGAUUUGGCCCAUCGAUCUUCGUUCGUGGUGAGAUUCGAUGGAAAUGAUCAGGAGAGCUCAAUCGGUUUGAAUAGUGAGGACCGUCUUACAAGAACAGGUUGCAUUUGGUGAUGUCGACUUUAAGAAUUAGAUUCGGUAGAUUUGUUUGUCUAGUUGGAUCCAAACCUCGCGUAAACAAUUGAAGUGAUGGGUGCAUGUCACCGACUCAUGAGCCCGAUCAGAUGAGCCCGGCCCAUUUACUUCGUCCAUUCUGUUGCAGGAUUUAUUUGGUAGCCGCCUUUGAUUGGGAAUUAGGGUUGUCUGGUCGCAGUCGCGGGCGAGGUGGAGCGAUUUGGGAAGGCGCUGCUCUCGGCUCUCUUUCCUGCGCGUAGCGGACCGCUUCGAAGCGGUCUCUCUCGGUUCUCCUUCCUGCACCACUGAGACGCUUACUUUUGUGUUCUUUUUCCAUUUGGAUGCCAUUCCGAAUUGUUAUGAACAAUUGUUCUUCUUUUCAGGGGUCACUAAGUCGAGUAGCUACUUGUCCAGAUUCAUGGCGACCGCUAAUGCCAACGCCAAAGGUGGUACGUAUUACUGCCGUAAAUGAUGUUUAAAAUGCUUUCGUUCAUUCUUGCAUAAGGUGUCACAGGUGUCAAUUGUAAUCUUCUUAUCAGCGAGGAAGAAGGAAGUGAAGAAAGAAACUGGACUUGGUUUGACCUACAAGAAAAAUGAGAACUUUGGUGAAUGGUACUCCGAGGUGCGCACGAUCAAGUUACCGGUGGUUCUCUUUCUGUUGACGUUAAAGUAUUAAUUUUGCAUUCCUUUUUCAGGUUGUUGUUAAUAGUGAAAUGAUUGAGUACUACGACAUAUCUGGCUGCUACAUCCUAAGACCAUGGACGAUGACAAUUUGGGAAGUUUUACAAGUAAUGGAUUUAGAUUCAUGUCAGAAGAGAUUGCUGUGUGUUUCCAUAUUUUGUUAACAACCUGGUUCUUUAAUCAAACCCUCCAAUUGUGGCUUCAAAUAAUAAAAACAUCAGUGCUGCGUUUGAUAUUUUUGGGUCCCAUGUAUGUUGAUGAUUUAUAAAUUAUGUGAAGUUUUUAACUAUCUUGAUGUUUAAGAUUACAUUGCCUUGUUUCUUAUCUCUUGGGAUUUCCUCUGGACCAUCUGUUGAUUGCUGAACUUUUUGUACAUGCAGACAUUCUUUGAUGCUGAAAUAAAAAAGAUGAAUAUCAAGAAUGCGUAUUUUCCUCUAUUUGUUACUGAGAGUGUCCUACAGAGGGAGAAGGAUCAUAUUGAGGGCUUUGCUCCUGAGGUGAGAUUUGAGUUUUGUUAAGGUGAACUAGAUUCUGCUGAAUUUUCCUUUCAUGCAGAGAUGAGCAAUUCUUUCUUGACACAUGUAGUUCAGAUUUGGUUUCAAAGUUGUACUCCAGACAGUUGAUGACAAAAUUCUAGAGAUGAUUUAGUUAAUGUUAUAAAAACUGUUGUAGUUGCUGCUAUUCUUGAAUUCUCAUUUACUGCUCAGCAGUAGUUGUUCUUUUCAAUUCUAAUUCGUAAGUUUAUUAGUGUGCAAGUUUUCAAUGUCGCAUACAAUAAUGUGUCCUUUGGCUUACUUCUUGAAGGUUGCUUGGGUUACUAAGUCUGGUCAGUCCGAGUUGGAAGUUCCUAUUGCAAUUCGUCCCACAAGUGAAACUGUCAUGUACCCAUAUUUUUCUAAAUGGAUUAGGGGGCAUCGUGACUUGCCAUUGAAGCUUAACCAAUGGUGCAAUGUCGUUAGAUGGGAGUUUAGCCAUCCUACUCCCUUUAUCAGGUUCCUCUGACAUUUUAUUUAUGAAUGUUGAAAAAUAGAUUUGUGGAUUAUUUUCCUUCUAUUGGAUCAUUGUUUACUAAAAUUUCAUUAGCAUGAUUCUGCUGCAGUUUAGUUUUUAUGGUGUCUUUUUUGGGAUGAUUAGAACUGCCAAGGGCAAUGGCUUUAGUUUGAUAGUUUUUAUUGUGUUAACAAGUACUUUCUUGUAGGGUAUCGAAGUUGGCUUUUUUAAUGCUUAUUGCCACAGUGUUUGACUAUAGGAUUGCCCACAAAUUAGCUGCUAUAUUAUUUUUCUAUUAUAAGAUUAAUCACAAAUUAGCUACUUUUUGUUGCAGUUGUUUUGGUUUGACAGUAAGAUUAAUGUGAGGCUUGUUAUCUCUAGUUCUCAACAACUUGCAUUUUUCUCUUCAGAUACUUUGUGGAUGUCUUUUCCUUCUACUAUAAUUUCCUCCUUUUUUUUCCUUCAACUAUUAACUUGAAAACUGGAGAAUACAGAAGCAAAUGGUGGGUCUAUGCAUGAAAUUGGAUUAUCUAUGUUAUCUCGAUAACAUGGUAUGGUGAAGCGUGUUACAUAAAGCUGCUUAUCUUUGUUGUCUGUGUUUGUUGCUGUUCUGUUGAUCUUGUUUCUUUUUUCUUAACUGAUGUGAGAAGAAGUCAUAUACUCAUUACUUAUCAGUUAAUUGCAUGCAUAUUUUCUGAUUUGUUUCUUUCAUCCAAAAUUUUAAAAUACAUGUUCUUGUUGGACUUCUGUCUUAUUUUUUUUCUUAUCUGCAGGAGUCGGGAGUUUCUUUGGCAAGAAGGGCACACAGCUUUUGCAACACAAGCUGAAGCAGAUCAAGAGGUACUUGAGAAUUCUAUUUUUGGAAAGUUUUUAUUAGAUUCUUAUACAAAAACUAGCUUGUCAGAAUAAACAAUGAAGUUGCUCACCCAGAAAUUAUUUUUGGAUAGCUGAUAUUGAUGUACUUAUUUUAUGAAUUUCAAAGUGUCUGUAGAUGAUAAUUAAAUAGUAAACUCCACUAAAGUUGAUUGGAUGGCAUCCAACAUAAAUAGUAAGCUAUGAAGCACAGACACUUGGAAAUAUUAAUCCCAAUAUAGAUGCUACUAAAGUUAUAUAGUCUUUCUCUUCAUGGUUUUGGUCAUUUUUUGGUUGCAUUGGUCAUAAGGUAGGUACUGGCUUAGUGGUAGUUUGGAUCUUGAUUUUGGAGAAUUUAACCUAUUCUGCAUGUCACUAGAGUAUUCAGGUAGCUGUCAGGAUUUUUAUUUAUAUUUGAGAAGAUAUAUAUGUCUUUUUUAAAAUUUAUUAUGUACUCAUUAUCUGAAAGCAUUCUAUGAGAACUGGGUUCUUGGUGUUCUUUUGGAAAACGGAUUUGUGAUGCUACUGCUAUUUGGAUGAUCCUUGCACUUUGAUCUCUGCAAAAGAUGAACUUUUAUGGAAAUUGACUUUACAUGUGGAAAAUGCAAUAUUCAAAUGUGAUCAGCUUGUUGCUAAGCCAGUUUUUUUUAAAAUGCCUCAUAUUGUCAUUUCAGGUUCUUGAAAUCUUGGAACUAUACAGGAAAAUAUAUGAAGAGUUCCUUGCAAUUCCUGUUGUUAAGGGUAGAAAAAGUGAGCUAGAAAAGUUUGCUGGUGGUUACUAUACCACAAGUGUUGAGGUACUUAAUUUAGUUCAAUUGAAGAAUCUUUUGCUGCAUCAUAUGUAGCUGAUUUUGCAGUAAAUCAUUAUAUCUAUUAUCUACUAUGAUGCAUUGGUUUGUUUUUUCUAGUGUUUGAAAAUUACCCUCCUGUUUGCCAGGCUUUUAUUCCUAACACAGGUCGUGGAAUACAAGGUGCUACCUCCCAUUGCCUUGGACAAAAUUUUGCAAAGAUGUUCCAGAUAAAUUUUGAGAAUGAUAAAGGUGUAAAAGCUAUGGUCUGGCAGAAUUCUUGGGCAUACAGCACUCGCACGGUAAUUUUUUGUGCUGCCAUUAAUUAAAGGAUUUGUUGUUAUGCUGAUGAUAAAACAUAUUUUAGGACAUUCUUUAGAUGCAUUCACUGUUUUGGGAUAUGUAAUUUUAUAACAGCUGUUAUGGCAUUAGGAUAUUUUAUCUUCCAGUGACAGCUAACUUUUUUACACUUUCCUUUGGAGCUCUUUGAGAUAGUAGAAUCAUCCUUGAAUAGAAUUUGAUUUAUCUGAAAUUGUAUAGAAGACCGUUGUUCGCUGUUUGAUUCAGUUGGAGAGUCUAUGAUCAUUGUUGAUCAUUGUAUGGAAUAUAAUUUUCUUGACAAGAAAAAAUAGUGUUCCUCAAAACAUGAUUCAGGGUAGUCACUCUGGUGUUCUGGUACCUCUACAUCCCGAAUUGCCACUGGUCUGUGAUUCAGAUUGCUGAACAUGGAGUGCUAAAUAUUGUUUAGUUUUGUCGUUGUGAAACUAGUACAUGCUUCCUCUAAAAUUCACUCAGGAAAUGUCAAAAUAACAAAGCACCAAACAACUGAAAGCAUCAUACAAAUUAAAGCUUAUUAAGUUUAUUUAAUUAUGUUUUUUGCCUGUUCAAAUUGCAUCUCUACAGGGAGUAAAUCAGGGGGAGGGGGGGGGGGGGGUGGGUGUGUGUGCUUGGUUGGAAAGUGCAAAACACUUUUAAACUGUAAACAUAAAGCUAAUGACAAGCAAGGCUAAAAUAUUUUAAAAAUUGUGGUAAAUAAUACAGGGGGUUCAAUUAACAUCACUCAAAGAUGUUAUAUCCAGGGUUUGCUGUAGCAGUUACUGUAGAACUGUACAUCACUCAAAGUGCUACAGCACUGUACAUCACCCAGGUGUACCGCUCGGUAUACCGUACCGUACCGGUACCGAGCUCAGGUCGAAAUACCGGUAUGGUACUGUAUUGCGAACCUUGGUUAUAUCUUCUUCAAGGCCAUAAUUUCUGAACCAAGAGAAAUGUUAUAUCUUCUAAGUGAACUGGUAUCAUAAUCUUGUACAUCACUAUUCCAUGAUCCAGGUAAUUGUAAAAACUGUUAAAAUAGAAAAGAAGAUAGUUGUUUUACAAUUUAUAACUGUUGGUUUGAGAAGACAGUUAUGGUUUAACAAUUCAUAACAGUUGAUUUGAAAAUUCGAUCAUUUGUAUCUUAGGCUGCUCUGUGGUAAAUUAUAUCGUAAAAGAAUAAUUUUAACAGUGUUUUCUUUUUGCAAGAAAGUUGUGUAAUUUGUAAGAGUCUUUUGGUUUUUCAUAUGCUUGUAGAUUUCCGGAUGAUGAUAUGUAGUUUUUCCAGGAGUCAUAUUCUUGAUAUAUAAUGCCAUGAUAGUUGGAUUUAAAUGUAGUGUACGUAUCUUGAGAUUGGAUUCUUGUAUCUCUGGAAGUGGCAUUUUCCAUGCUUUUUCUCUGACAUGCCAAGUUUAGUUUUUUCUAUUGCCACUCUCUUUGUAUAAUCAUUCUUUUUUUGAACAAUCAUUCGCCAGACUUGGAUAUUUUUAACAUAACAAUCUGUUGCUAGAACAAGAUUCUAAUGGAUAGGUGUCCAUGGCUAACUAAUGGUUGUUCAUUUAAUUAUGUUGAUAUUAUUUAAAACUUGGUUUGUCUCAUUAAUGUGUGUAUGCAUUAAUGAUGAGGGCAUGAUUAAGCUUGAUUAGCACCAACUCCAUUUAAUAGUUUCCUAGUGGAAUAAUUUCUGACAAUAUGUAACAUAGUUAGGAAGCAAAUGUGAGUUAUCUGAUCUCUAGCUUUUCUGCAGAUUGGUGUUAUGGUGAUGGUUCAUGGAGAUGAUAAAGGCUUAGUAUUACCACCUAAAGUGGCAUCAGUCCAAGUGAUCGUCAUCCCUGUCCCUUUCAAGGAUGCAAAUACUGAUGCAAUCUUUAGUGCCUGCUCAUCAACAGUUCAGGCACUCCGUGAAGCAGGCUUUAGAGCUGAAGCAGAUUUAAGAGAUAACUACUCUCCUGGCUGGAAGUAUUCACACUGGGAAAUGAAAGGUGUUCCUUUGAGAAUUGAAAUUGGACCCAAGGAUUUGGCAAAUAACCAGGUAAACAAGGAGUUGAAAUAUCUGGGUCAAUCAGUAUGACUUUACUGAUCAAGAUUUCCUUUUGUUCACUUCAAUUGCAAAUUCAUUCAAGCACCAAAGUUCUUCCUUGUGGAUAUCAUUUGCUAGUGCUUCCACCCUAUGCAAUGGGUCAUAGGGAAAGUCACAUGGAACUAAUAUUUCUGCCUUCAUGUGUCUUUGUUAUUGUUUUGUUUUUAUGUUUUGAUGCAGCAAUAAUUUUAAUUUUACAAUCAAUAUCUUCUCCAAUUACUGUAUGGAUCCAAUCCUCAACAGUCUGAUUGUAUCUGGAAUUGAUGGUCAGAGCCGACGCAAGGCUGUUGGGUAUCUUCAUCUUUAUAUUAGACAGUUACUGCUUAGCAUGAUUAGUGUCUUCAUCCUAAUCUUGGUUGAUGUGGUUGUCAUGAAUGAUUGCUCUCAGGAUAACUGUUCUUUUCAUCUUCUGGAAUUUGUUGGAUUAUCUAAAAUGGUGCCAAGAAAGUUGUCCUUUUCUAGAGAUUCAAAACGGAGCAUUACGUUGUUCGAUACCUUUUAUCACUUUGGUGCCAUUAUUGUGUAAAACAUCUUGUAUUACCGAUUAGAUUUCUGUACCUAACAUCAUGGUCAAUAGACAAUCAUUGUCCAUAUGAUUGUAAAAGCUAGACAAAGUUACUGUUUAAAGUACGGUGCCAAUAUACAAAGUUACUGUUGGAGUUGUAUGAAGGUAAAAGCUAGAUUUUGAUAUAUUUGUUUGUCAGAAAUCCAUGUGUGGACUACCAUAGGAUUGGCAAGGAUAACUUUUUUAUUGGAAUUCAAUAAUUAAAAAAAUCAGGAAUCCAACCGAUGGAUUGAGAUAUUUUGUUCUGCUUAAGGUUUGAAACAGUGGCAGCAUGGUAUGUUCUGUGCCAGCCUAAACAUGUUUAACAAGGCAUGGUUAUAAUAUUAAAUAAUUGGCUUUCCAACUGCAUGGCUCAACAAGAGACUUCUCAGCCUAAGCAUCUCCUUUAUUAGAGAAGACUUAAACUUGUAAAGCAUGCAACUGCAUUGUGGUAUCGAAUCAGCAUAUACUCGAACCCAGGGAGUUGUUCUUUGACAUCCUAUUUUCGCUAGCAUAAUACAUGUCAUGUCUUGUUACAUUGUCAUGGUUACAAUUAUAUUUUAUGAGCUGCGCAAAUAUAGCAGGUUGCAUUUUACUACUGAAAGGCACUAGCAGUUCACUUUUUUUUUGCAAGCGUACAUUUGAGCUGCAUAUGGUUUGCUUAUGAGAACUUAAGCUAGUUUGCUUGAGUGUUUCUCGUAUCUUGUUUAGCAUUUUAUCGUAUGCAUGUCCUUUUUGUUUCUUAUAUGAUGGGAUAGAAAUCUUAUAUACAACUUACAGGUGCGGGUUGUUAGGCGUGACAAUGGUGCAAAAUCAGACAUACCAAUGGGCAAUCUGGUGGAAAAAGUGAAAGAGAUACUCUCAAGUAUCCAGGAAUGCUUGUUUAAUGCAGCAAAACAGAAGAGAGAUGCAUGCAUAAAGAUUGUCAAUACCUGGGAUGAGUUCAUAGCUGCUCUUAAUGACAAAAAAAUGAUCCUUGCUCCCUGGUGCGAUGAAGAGGUACAUCCUUAUCAUUAAGUUCAUUGGAUGAUAUUUCACAUGUUGUAUGUCAUUCAUGGUCAUUAUAUCAGUUGUGUAGUUGUGCAAAUAUGAUGAUGGCCAAUGGUGCUGUUGUGGGACAUAAGUGACCAAAUGCAUACGGAAGUAAAAGGCAACGAAAUAUAUUCAAUUGUAUUCACUAUGUAAACCUCCUUUUUUUGCUGAUGUAGCCACUAUACUGUUUUCGUAGCUGUUAUCAUCUGUUUUUUGCCCUCAAUGAUGGUACUUUUGUCAAUAUUGUGUUUUAGUGAUGUUAAAUUACAUGUUUCUGGAUGAUAAUUAUUAUAAGGGUUAAGGCCUUUAAAGAUUACUUGUUAAGACUGGAAGGUGGCAAGUUGUGAUCUGAAAGUUUCUAAUUUUAUGGUUACAUGUAUAUGCUUCUUUUUAAUUAUUAUAUUUUUAACAAAGAAAAUAAGAAGAGUUUCUGUUUUAUUUUGUUUCGUAUUCUAUGCCUACAGGAAGUUGAGAAGGAUGUAAAAGCUCGAACAAAGGGUGAACUAGGAGCUGCAAAGUCUCUAUGCACCCCAUUCGAUCAGCCAAGGCUUCCAGAAGGUACUCAUUCGUUUAGUACAUAAAUUGAUCAAGCUAUCUAACUAUACAUUAAGCACAAAGUCAUACCUUGAAAAGACCUUCCUGUCAUACCAUGUCAUGAUAUGAAAAACAGGAAUAAUCUGAACAAAAACCCCAAAAAAAUAAAAAAAUCCAAAGAAAUGAUUAUUUAAUGUGAAGUAUAUCAGUCGUAAAGGAUCAUGCAUGAAUCAUAGCAAAGCAAUAUAUGGUUCAUUGUUCAUCAAUCGACGUGCAUGAUUACCUAUCAUGAUCAUCAAUAGGUAAAUAUGUAAAUCAUCCAGCACACAUGCAUGCAAUAUUAUUAUAAAGGCACAUCCAACAGUGUCAUUAACAUACAUUAGGAUGGAUCACACAUCUUAUAGAACACCACAUCACCCAUGCAUUCACCAUCCAACAUUGGUGUAUAAGUUAGAACUUCUAGUUGAUGCACUUUCUCAUAGUUGAUAGAGAGUGGCCAUAUCAUAUUCUUACCUGAUCAGAAAUAUCUGGAACUUAAUUUGGAGGUUUCAAAAUCCUUUCAUUUUUGGGCUGUCUUCUUGGCCAAUGAGUUGGAUAGUUUUUUGUGCUCCAAGGAGCAAGGUGGAGCUUGUAUUAGGUUGCUUCAGUAAUAUAGUUUUGGCUUUUUGUUUGAGAAAAAAAAUCUUAUCCUCACAAGAGAACAUCUGGUUACCACCACCUCUGACUACUUGUUAAUCCUUAAAGAGAAUCAUGCUAUCAAUAUUGACUCAUCUGCCACCAAAAAGUUUGUUUCACUAUCAUCAUUUUCCAUGUAAUCACAUAUCAUGCAAAAUAUAAUAUUAUUAAUGACAUUAUCAUGAAACAUCUGGUGUACAAAAACAAGAUAUAGAUACCAUGAAUGAAAUAAGAUUAUGGUUGAUUGAAUUUCAUGAUUGUUACAAACCAGUCCUAAGACUCAUUGUAUUAUUUCCUUGCUGUCAAAAUGUAUCCGACUCUUACAGUUUAAGUUGAUCAUUCUAGAUUGUUGAUCCUUCUCCAUCGUAUAAAAGUACUACGAGAUGAGGUUUGUGAAUCUGGAUAAGUAUUAAUUUUGAUGUUCGAGGAUAAAGGGAGACUCAUAUCUAGAUUGUUGAUCAUUCUUUUUAGCUCUGUUGCUCGUCCAUCUAAUGAAUUAAAGAUCUGUUAGAACUUAUUCACUUAUAUGACUUCAACUGUCCAGCUCUUGCAGAUCAUGCUUUCCUUCAUGAAAGAAGCUUGUGCCAUCAUUCUUUUAGUUUAUUUUUAAUCACAGUAUCUACCUUGUACCAUUACCUUGAUCUUUUUUUUUUUUUGUCUUUGAUGAUGAUGCCCGACAUGAGAUUUAUCAUUCACAACUUUGUGCAGGAACUCUAUGCUUUGCCUCAGGAAAGCCAGCCAAGAAAUGGACAUAUUGGGGACGAAGCUACUAGGCAGGUUGAUUACAGAGAUCCUACUGUCGUUUAUUCUGGAGUUUGCAUUUUUAUGAAAACGAUUGCAAGUGUUCCAUACUUUAUUCUCCUGUAAAAGAUUUUGAAAGUUUUGAGUUAUUCCUGUUUGAAAAUUGGGCUGAUAUGCAAGCAGUACUUCAUGCAGUUGUUAGAUCGAGCUAAUCAUAUGUCGUCUAGUAAAAAAUAAAGAAGAAUGACGAGCUAGACCGAAUAUAUAGUUUCAGUCUGGAGAUGUUAGGAUUGAAUGUUUGGAGAUCCUAUAUUGCCACUUUCAUUUUGGUUCUUGAGUGCAAGAUUGAUUGGUCAAACAUUUUAAAUAAGGUUUCACCUGCAUGAGAUGUUCCGAAACGCAAUAUGUUCAUAAUUUGGCUUUAUCGUGUGGGCUGGUCGAUGGUCCUUUGUCAGUGAUGGUGUGCUCCUUAUUUGGUUCAUCUUUAUCUCUUAGAUGUGAGGAUACGGCCAUGGGGUAAACAUGUCGCUAUUAUGGUCUGAGAUAGAAAUAUUAAGGACUUGGCACUCGGAGAUCAUUGUGGGAUGAUUCUACAACUAUGACUAGUGUUUCCCAAUCAGCUGACGGGUAGUGUUUCCCAAGAGGUAUGCCGUAAUUGUACGUAUACAAAGCCAAUAUUGGAUUUUUAGGCACAGGGAGAGGUGUUUUCUUCCUUCUAGUUUUUACCGCCUUAUCCAAAGAGAGAGUUCUUUAUAUAUAUAUAUACAUAUAUAUAUAUAUAUAUGUAUAUGUAUAUAUACAUACAUAUAUAUGUGUGUAUAUAUACAUACAUAUAUAUAUANNNNNNNNNNNNNNNNNNNNUAUAUAUAUAUAUAUCUCGAGAAUAGGAGUAUCGAACACCUGGCAUCGAAACAUCAGCUUCCUUCGCUUCUGUUAUUUAUUUAUACCACCGAAGGAGGGGUUAGGAAAAGGAAAAAGAAAAGAGUUCCGGUGGGCGAGCGAUACGGGCGAAAGAGUCGGGCGGCCGCGACGAUGGAUUCUUCGAGCGGCGACAGCGGGCGAGGUGGAGGGACGUCGCUGCUGUCGGCGUGGAGCGCCGCCGCCUCCCGGCGGUACCAGCACCUGCUCGACAAGGCCACGCCGCACGUACUUCGGAGGUGGGCCGGGCUGGCCGUGCUGGCUCUCGUCUACGCCGCUCGCGUCUGGAUUGUCCAGGGUUUCUAUAUCGUCUCGUACGCCCUCGGCAUCUACGUCCUCAACCUCUUCAUCGCCUUCCUCUCCCCACAGGUCGAUCCCGAGAUCCAGGACCUCGUCGCCGGCCCCGGUCCCUCCCUUCCCACCCGUUCCUCUGAUGAGUUCCGCCCUUUCGUUCGCCGCCUACCCGAGUUCAAGUUUUGGUCAGUGCCGUGCACCAUUCUUUCUUGCUCCUCUUAUUUUUGAUCCUAUUUGAUCUCGCAAUCCUUUUUCUCGUGUGUCGACCUGUUAGAUUCAGAUCAAAUAUGUUAGAUCAAGUAAAAUCCUAUGCUAAGAAAGUAGAAGGCUAUAAUUGGUUGAUACGAGCUCUUGGCUUGAUCCCCUGCAUUGAUUCAGGAAAGUUAUUUGAUUUUAGCCUACCAAAGUUUUGCAAUGGAGUUGAAAUUUCUGAAGCAUGCAUGUGGUACAUACAUAAGUGUUGAAGAAAACUUUGUGAUAAGAGAUUCUAGAAGGAUUGGGACAAUCAACCAUAGAUGUUGGUGUUUCCUUUUUGUUUUUUUCUUUUCGCAGCAAAUGUUCUUUAGCAACUCCGGAAUGGCCCGAUCAAUUGUGACAUCGGUUAUCUUUUUCACAUAGGGCGUGUCUUCCUCUAGGUCAAGGUGUUUUCACAUAGGUAUAACCUUUACCUAUUUGACCGAUGGUGGAUUGGUUUUGACAAAAGACAAAAGAAUAUGCAAGAAUUGACUUUAAUUGUUAACUGAAAAUUCAUCUCAAUGCCUUUCAACAAGUUGCCUGCCUGAGCACUAGUGUUAUUGUUGAGUAGCAAUAAUGCUUAAUUGAACAGCACAGUCAUUUAUCCGCAUAAUUCAUGUGUUGGUUGACUAGGAGCUGAUUAACCAAUUAGAUUGAACUUUUUGUCUAAAUGAACAGAGAGCACUUGAUCACUUGCGACGAUUGCUAGAAACAUUGACUCUAGAAUUCUUUAUUUAAGGUAAUACUGAUAAUUAUAUGAAGCAUGAGGACCUAGGUAAUGUUACGGUUGUUUUUUUUUUCUUGUGCGAUGCGAUCAAGACUUAAGACAUAAAAACAACAUAAGACUGUGUAUAUUGUCUCUUCCCAAUUGCAUUGGUGGGGGCUUUGUACUUUGGGACCAUCCUUUAACAAUGAGACGAAGUGAAAAUGGAUCAGUAGUUAUAACAAAGGAGUGCUAUUAAGUUGCACCAGGCUAAGAUCCAAAUCUAUCCAAUAAAGGCUCACAAGUUCCAAUCCUGAAUCUGAAUCCCUCCCAUAAGAGGAUCUAAAUCAAAUCUUGAUUGCAGAAACUAUAACUAUUGGAUACCAUAUUUGGUAGCUUAGAUUUGGCUUGCUUUCCAUAUACAAUAAAUGCUAUUUGGUUUUGCUUUCCCCAAUCCAAUAUACAACCAAAGGUUAGCAAUAAAGGAACCAAACCGAUCAAAGUGCAUUGCUCAUUUGCAGUCUGUACCAUUUAUCAGUCAAACAUCUCAGAAAAUCUCGUAUAGGCAUUUUUAUAGAAAAACAAUACUUUGAUCUUUAUCAAAGACAAUUGUUUUAUGGAUUUACUCCAAAAGCAGAGUCCAAUAGUUACCAUUUACAGGUUGAGAUUCCAUACUCGAUAAAUAGCUUAAUAAAUCCUGUUCAAGAAUCCCUUACUUGAAAUCAGGUCAAAUUCAGAUUUGGACUAUCAGAUCCUCAGGGUCUUUGGCACCUGUAAAUUCAACCUUUUAUAGGCAUCAAAACUAUGAGGUGUUGGCAGUGAUAUGACAUUUACAGUAUGCUGACAUGGUUUCCUCGUGUCAUGCAGAUGCCAUCUCGUAUAAAGAUAAUAAAUGCAGCAUCUAGUAGGGUCCAAGUUGGUCCAUAAAUGAUGCACUUGGCAACACUUGGAUGACACGUCAACUUUAUGUUUGUCACCUGGCACUAUAGGAUUGGCAUGUCAGCUUACAUGAUUCCAUGCGGAUGACAGAUCAACUUGACUGCCUUGAUGUUUGUUACUCGGUACCACACAACAUGUUAGUUAGCACCAUUCUGUCGCCAUGAACAUUAGACCUUGGGCUAGGCCUUCCAAAUAGAUCAACUCCUAGGUGGGAAAGAAAACAGAGGCCAGUGUUAAAUUGCUAAACCACUGGUGAGGAAAGUGAAAAUUUCCCUUUGUAAUUAAUAUAUCAAUGCAGUAUAUUUAGAUAUUGCUUGAACUAUGUCUGUAAUAAUAUUUGCAUUCCCUGUUUUGUGAUUUAUUCUAAAUUUAUUUACAUGCUUUAAUAUGUUUGACGAGUAUUUAAGAGUGUUCAAGUUCAUCAUCCUAUAAGAUGGUAUGAAAUUCUAAAAACACAAUUUGAUAAUUUACUCGGAAAAUGAUCAGGUAAUUCCAUACAUUGAUAGUUGCUCUGAGCCUCUUGACUUCUGCCUGAGUGUAUAUGCUACCACCCAAGUGUAUAUUUGUUUUCACCCAUGGUUUACGAACCUAUUCGUUGAACAUGAUCUAUUCUGAUGAUGGAAAAAUACUCAUUUCAGGUCCCACUCUGAAAUCCCUCAUCCAACCAAAUUUUAGUGAUAUCAAUACCUUAGUGCUUUUUCUAUUUCUAUAGAUAGUCACUUCCUUUCUACUUGUCAUAAACCUAGUACCAUCGCUUACCUAGAACAAGUGUGACAAUUUUUAUUUCAACACGCUCUACUGCUAAUAACAUUUUGACGUUACAAACACAUCAUGAUGUGGCAUCAUGUCGUGCCCAUGAGUAGUAUGUGCGUGGUGGGCACAAAAUUGGUACAGCAAGUUACAAUUGUCAUAGGCAAACCAUGAUUCAGACCCACAUAACUGCAGCUAGUGUUCCUUUCCAAAGGAUGGAACAAUUGCACAUCCAGUACCUUGCUGGUUUAGUUGUGUUAUCAUGGCAGAAAAGCAUGAGUAUGGUGCAUGAUACUCAUCAUAAUGACACUGUUUUGAAGUAGUAGUUGAAUAUAUUUUUUCUAAUAUGAUCAUAUUGCUGAGAAGUUAGAUCAUUUGUCUAGACUGGUUGUGAACUAGUAGUUGUCUUUUCUUUCAUUCUUUUGCUCUUUCUUGUCGGUUUCUCUCAUGUUCUUGUUCUGAAAGAUGUAAAUGCAGUUCUUUUUAGUGUCCAUGGGUAACAUUCUUUCAGUGCAGGCAUUCCAUUACAAAAGCGUUUUGCAUUGCUUUCGUAUUGACGUUCUUCAGUGCAUUUGAUGUGCCUGUAUUUUGGCCUAUUCUGCUCUUCUACUGGUUAGUGCUGUUCACAGUCACGAUGAAGAGACAGAUUCUUCAUAUGAUUAAAUACAAAUAUGUUCCAUUCACCUUCGGAAAGCAGGUAUUUUAAUGCUUCUAAACACAGAUGAGAUAUCGUUCUCUUAAACAAGUAUCCUGAUUAAUCGUCUGAUCUCCUAUUUCAGCGUUACACUGGGAAAAAAGCAGUCUCCACCGAUGAUGCGACUCUUCCGAGCGAUUGAACUGCAUGUUUGUAUGUUAAGCUCGAAAGAAUCCCAAGUUGAAACCCUAGUUAGAACGAAGAGGUCAAAAUGGUCUAAUCAUUGUGAUCUAUAUUAUGCUAGGAGCUUUCUAUAGUUCAACCGAGUUGGAAGAACCUGAUGUUGAGUGCUCUGUUACAUGUCAAUGUGUGAGGCUUACAGAUUCCGAUGGGUCUUCUGGUCUCUUGCAUUUUGUUUUACCUGUUGAACAGCAGCUACAUUUAUCAUUCAGAAGACACCAUAUGUUUUGAUGCUCUUCGUCUUCCUACAUGUUUGUUAUUACUAGGCACAGAGACAGCAUCAACUUCGUUUCUCCAAAUCUUUACUUAGGCUAUUUGUUACCGCGUUGAAGAGUGUAUUUAUGUUCUUUCCAUAACAUCGAAUUGCGCGAGUGGAUUUCAAUCUUUUCAAUUCGGAUUCCAUUACUAUAUAAUUAAUUCAUUAAAGGAAGAAAACAAUUUAAUCUUUUAAGGAUAUUUUAGGAAAAAUAAACUUCUCCCCUUCCCAAUUGUGUGGACUUUGGACAGAAUGAACUUUCUAGAAGAAAUAACAUAGAGAAGUUCCAAGACUUUUCGUGCAGUUUGAGGGCGUCACGACCUUUCUUCGCGUUCAUCCCAUCGAUUUCCCGCAUUGUUUCCCCUCCUCCUCUUAAUACGCGUUGACUUGACUUUCGGGUCGUCGCUUCUCCCUUAUUAACGUUUCUUCCGUUAAUAAACUCCCACCUUCUCUAUCUCUUCUCGCCUCCGAUCUCAAUGUCGUCCGUCUCUGGAAUCCAAGGCCACAUCCUUGAGGUCACCGGUAACUCCGCCUGAACCUUUCCCCCUUCCUCGUUUUCGUUAAUCCUUCUUGACGAUAUGUGUAAUGAUCAUUCUCUCUAUUCGAUUUUGUUGUUGUUGUUGCUGCUGCUGCUCUGGGGGGGAAGUGGUUGGGUGCACCAAAUUGAGGGACACCGAGCUGUUCUCCCGCCAAGAUCCUUACGUCUGCCUUGAAUACGCCAAUUCCAAGUUCCGCACUCGCACCUGCACAGGUUUGUUCUUUGAUUCAUUCCCCUAAUGUUUUCUUGAUCUGAUGAUCGGAAGGCGCUUAACAAAAGCUGGAUUUGGGUUCCCAGAUGGCGGCAAGACCCCCACGUUCCAGGAGAAGUUUCAGAUACCCCUCAUCGAGGGGCUCCGUGAGAUCAGCGUGGCUGUGUGGAACAGCAACACCUUCACCGCCGACGACUUCAUCGGCAGCGCCAGGUUCCCAUCUUGUCCUCUCCCUUCAUCCUUUUCUUACUUGGUAUUUGGUCGAUUCCUCGCGCUCUCUCUCCCUCUUUCUGUUAAUCAAAUUAAGGCUUACUCGGUAAACAUGCUCAAUUUGUUCUGCUCCUAUAACCGAUCGUGAUCCGUAGCUUGUUCUUUGCUAGUCAAAUUAGGGUUUCACCAUUUAGACGAUGACAUCAAUUGGUUUUCCCUAUUUACAACCUGGCUCAUAGUUCAGCUAGAUUGGCUAUGAUCUCUGUGAAUCAAGAUACUGAAACAUGGAACUCGAUCCUUCUUGUGCCCAGGGUUCAAUUGCACAAGGUCCUCUCCCAGGGUUAUGAUGACACUUGUUGGCCACUCCAAACCAAGAAUUUCAAGUAAAGACUGUUCUCUCAAUUUUUGCUACUCUGCUAUUAGGUUAGAGCUUUCUUCCCAUCAUAUUGUUUUUGCAGAUUUGCAGGAGAGGUGAAGCUCAUCAUGCACUUCCAAAAUGCAUUAGUAAGUUCGGUUCGAUUAUUGCUUGUAAAUUCCCACUAGAGAACACAAGUAACUUCAAUUUGUUGCAUCGAUGAGCAGCACAAGACCCCCGCACAUUGUGCUCCGUCCGCCCCACCUUACAUGUCGCCGCCGCCGGUGAUCGCGGCAUAUGCCCCUCCUUAUGCUUCUCCUUACACAGCUGGAGCUUAUCCUGGAGCUGCCUCAUAUGCUUCGUAUCCCCCACCUGCGGCAGCACCGUAUCAGACUAGUGUAUAUCCAACUCCACUACCGCAACAAUUCUACGCACCCCAAUCGUAUCCUCCUCCUUCCUAUCCGCCGCAGCCCUACAUGCAGCAGUACCCCCCGUCGCCGGCACAACCUUACUAUCCACCAGGUAAGUCUCAAAAGAGGAGCAUCGAUUGAGGAGAUUCCUGAGCACAAUGUAAUUACCUGGAACUCUUUUUGCAGGGCCUUACCCGGGUUCUUAUCCUCCACCUUACUGAUUGGGAGAUUAAUGGUGCUAGUCUUGCAAUUCAUUUCUUCUUCGUGCACCUCCAAAUCAAGUGGUGGCUUCACGGUAGAUGAUUUCACAGUUAUGUUUCUCUCCUUGUUUGGUGAUUCAGCUGCGUACCUGCGGAUAAAGUUAAUACUAAUUUUUGGUGAUUCAUAUGCUUCUAUUAUUAUUAUUUUUUUUACUUUUGUCUUUGAAUUUGAAAUUUGGAAUGCAUUAAGUGCCUAUCUUACUCUUCAGUUUUAUUUGAAGCCAUGAAGGCUCUUUGGGUCAUAGCGUUUUGUUUGCAAGUGGAUUGCAACCACGAAGUCCCAUCCCUACUUCUUCUCCUCCUCUCAGUGGUUCAUCACAACCACUUGUUCCAGAACACCCCAGUCGUCUUCCUUUUGUUUAGCUCAUGGCUCUUGCAUUCACGCUGUGUCGGAGGACAAACGAGUGCAGAGCCGCAGCAGCAUCGGGCGCCGAAGCCGGAAGAGUCCGACCGGAAAAAGCCGUCGAGGACGUGGCUUUUAUCCUUAGUUUCGGAAGGUUUUGCCUUGGUGGUAUCUCUAUCCGGUAGAUUCACGCAGCCGAAGGACACUAGUCUGUCACUUUUGGCUGUGUGUUUGGGAAGACGAUGAGGUAAAUGACUCGAGUGCGUUCGAGCCCUGUGGGGGAGUCUGUGUCCAUUCUUGUCCCCUUCUGAGCGGUUCUUUUUCAUGCUCGAUUAGUAAGUACAUUAAACAUACCUCUUCGAUCUGGAGAUAAAUAAUGUCGAAUUAACAGUGCUUGUGAGAUCUGAUAUACUACCACUUGCCACUUGGUAAACCCAAACUAGUUUCUUUGGUAGAUGCUUAGCGGCGGGGAACAAUGAUUUGAUGUUGUUGCUGUUCGUGCCCGAGAUGGGUGGAAAUCAGAAAUGAAAAGAUUGCUUGUCUUAUUCUCUUGGAAACAUCCCUGUUAUACAAACUUGAUUGAGCCAAACAGAGAAUAGAUACAUGCAAAAGGCUAAAAAGUGAAAAGUAGCACAGGCACUCCGAGUACAAGGCAAUUUAACUUGCCUGGAUUCAUUUCACAUGAUGUGUAUAGCAGAUUUGCAGGUACAUCUCUUAAUAGCUUUACUAUUAUGUGCAGUCGAGUCAAGUUUUCACGUUCACCAAUCGAAUCCAGCAAACCAAAUCAAGGAUCUCUGUUCUUGGAAUCAGUGUGUGGAGUCCUCCUUCUUCAUCUCCUAGUUACUUUCUCUUCUUCCAUCCCUGUUUUAGCUCAAAUAGUGUUGGGAUCUGAAGUUACAGAUGAAGUGAAUGUUCUCUUCCAGAAGACGGUUGAAGUAAUCUGUUCAUUCACGUGCCAAUACUACCUACAGAUCGAUAGCUCAAUAGGUCCUUUUCCUGUGUCACUUUCCUGCUACACAAGAAAGAGAAAGAGGAGGAGAGAGAUGGAUUGCUGUGCUAUCACCAAAAUGAAAUGGAAAGUGGUGUAAUAAUUGUCUAUAGAAGACAAACCAAAUCUAUGGAGAAUAAUAGACUCCAGAAAGUCCCAACCUCGAUCAAAAUUGAGUUGCAUGCAAUGACAGUGACGCAGGAAUGCCAUCAAACCAAAGACAUGGAAUUUUCCCAAUCAUAGCAUCAACUUGGUCACCCAAAUCUUGGUGGCAAAAGGGCAUAUGUAUUGGAGAGAGAGAGAGAGAGAGAGAGAGAGAGAUGUGCAGAGUGGUUUUAUUACACAGAUUCUGCAAAGGAGAUAUAACCCAUAAAGAUUUGCCUGUUUUGGGGGGAAAGAAGGGUGAAAAGGUCACAACCUCAGUCCAUCUACAAUUGUAGGAAGACAAAAUUCACUUGCCUCCAAUUGAUCAUACAAAUCAAUGUAAACCCUCUGAGACAUUAUAACCUACAACAGUUGAGGCCGGGAUGCAUCAGCCACAAACAGCAAGGCCAUGAAAAGUUGUGCUGCCUCCAACCAUUGGCACCUCCCAACACUGUCCCUUUGUAUUGAAUAAUAAUCUCAUGCAUCAAAAGCUCUAUACAAAUUAAGCAUCAUAGGCUAAGCCUACCUUCCCUGCACCCAACACCAGACGGUGCUACUUCUCCCAUAAAGAUUCCCAACACUUGACCAUCGUAGUAAAUGCAUGGUCCCUUCAGCCCUCCCUCUUCGAUCUCUUUCCGCAAGAGAUGACAUAGGAAGUGGAAGAGGCCCAACAAGCACACUAGUCCUUCGAGAACGUGAGCAAAUCCUCCACAGUUAACGCUGAUCUCAUGCGGAGAGUGAGAGGCAGAACACCAGAAGACAUUACAUCCUUCCUCCUCCCUCUUGUCCUUGUUUUCCUUGGAUCCACCUUCAUCGGCUCACUAGGUUUGCCGCCCAUAUCCCGCAGGUCAAUCCCCUCUCCCAUGUCUUCUUUCCGACAGCAAGAUUCCCCUACAGCCCUUUCCCUCCCUCUCUCUCUCUCUCUCUCUCUGGCUUUUCCUUUUUUCCCUGCGGUGUUGCCUGGGAGGGAGGUUGUUUUGACUAUUCUUUCUGUGUCUGUGACUUGGUUCCAGGUUAAAGCUUUGAGGCUGCUUCAGGCAGUGGAUGCCCUCUCGAUGAGCUGUGGUCUUAUUUUAUAGCUUCCAACAGGCUAAUCCAAUCCCCUCCUUUUGUUUGCUCUCUUCCCCAUGACCUAUCUCACCUCAGAGUCACAUGCAUUGUUCCCAGCUGAAGCUCCAGUCCAGUUUUUUUCUUCCUCUCUUGGCUUAUAGCUCAAGGUUUUUUGAGGCCACCCUCCCCCUGCAGACAUACGUUCCAGGGGUUCGUUCACAUCACAUCCCUCUUCUUCUUCUUCUUCUUGUAGCAGCCACUGAGACAUGAGUUGCUCCAAAGCAUCACCAACAUGAGCUCACAAGGGAGUAGGCUGCAGAGCAAAUGGCAGGCUACUACUAGAUCUCUUCCACCGCUGCUGACGCUUCUUGUCCUGGUAAGCCCAGUGCUGGCCCUCGGCCAAGAUGGAGUGCUGCUGCUCAAGUUCAAGUCCUCCAUCCUCAGCGACCCCCUCGCCGUGCUCCGCGACUGGAACUACUACGACGCCACGCCGUGCUCGUGGAAUGGAGUCGUGUGCAUGGGUUUCCCGGACGCAGCCGCUAUCACCUGGACUCCUCCUCCUCCUCCUCCUGCUGCUAAUACUGGAGGCGGUGGCAAUGUUCAGGUCCCCACGGCUUCCAGAGUGAUCGGCUUGGUCCUGCCCAACUCUCGGCUCUUGGGCUCCGUCCCCCCCGAGCUCGGCCUCCUCGAACACCUUCGCCACCUCGACCUCUCCGGCAACAUGCUCAACGGCACCCUCCCGCCCUCCCUCUUUGACGCUUCCGAGCUUCGCGUGCUCUCGCUGGCCAACAACGCCAUCUCCGGAGAGCUCCCGGAGCUCGACGGGCGCAUGAGCAGCAGUUUGCAGGUGCUCAACCUCUCCGACAACGCAUUGAUCGGCAGGUUGCCGGCGAACCUUUCUCGGCUGCCGAACCUCACAGUUGUGUCCCUCGCCAAUAACUACCUGUACGGACAACUUCGCGGCGGCGGGUUCUUGCGGCUCCAGUACUUGGAUCUCAGCUCCAACCUCGUCAAUGGCUCCUUGCCGACGGAUCUCGGUGGGCCGAGGCUCCGGUACUUGAACCUGUCAUACAACCGCCUCACCGGCGCAAUCCCGCUGGAGCUGGGGGCGACGAUUCCGGCCAACGCCACGGUGGAUCUGUCGUUCAACAAUCUCACCGGAGAGAUCCCGCAUGGCGGCGCUUUCGCCGCGGAGAAGCCGAUGGCGUUCGUGGGGAACCCGAGUCUAUGCGGGAGGCCGCUCAGAAACCCGUGCGCCAUCCCCUCCAUUCCCUCCACCGUCUCCGACCAUCCUAAUUCUUCCGUCGCGGCUCCGCAGAAGGGCAAGUCUCCCCCAGCCUUCGCGGCGAUACCCAAGAACACGGACGGGACCUCGCCUGCCGGUGGCGGGCAAAGCUCGGCAGGGCGAGGGACCCUCCGGCCGUUUGCUGUGAUCGCGAUCACGGUCGGGGAUUUGGCCGGCGUUGGGAUCCUUUUCGUAGUGUUCUUGUAUCUAUACCAUGUGAAGAAGAAGAAGAAGACGCAAGAGCAGCGGCAGCAGAAAGAAGUUGGAGGCGUAGGGCUGAAGAAUGAGCCGCCGCCAACAGCAACAACGGCAUCCCCUGAAUCCAAAACCAUAGGGCUGUUGUCUUGCUGUUUGAGAAAGAAAGGCGGCGGCGACGGAGGUGACACCGAGGAGACAUCGGAGACUUCGGGAUCCUCCGAGACGGAGGGAGAACUGGAAGAAGCGCCAAAGGGAGAAAAGGACGGUGAGGACGGUAGAUCCCACUCGCAGCAGAAGCUACAAGGGGCUACUCUUGUCAUGGUCGACGGCGAGACAGAGCUGGAAAUCGAGACAUUGCUCAAAGCCUCGGCUUAUAUACUCGGCGCCAGUGCGUCCAGCAUCGUCUACAAGGCGGUGCUCGCCGACGGCACCGCCUUGGCCGUCCGCCGCAUUGGGGAGGGCAGCGUCAUCGGCAAGUUAAAGGAUUUUGGUGCUCAGGUCCGCAGCCUUGCCAAAUUCCGCCACCCGAACCUCCUCCGCCUCCGGGGAUUCUCCUGGGGCGCCGACGAGAAGCUUCUCAUUCACGACUAUGCCCCCAACGGUAGCCUCGCCAACAUCUCUCUCAGCAGUAUGUCUCUGUCUUCUUUUGCCGUCUCUUUUCUACGAUGAAGUUUGCUUCAUGAAUCAGUGGAUUGAGUCCUGUGUACUUGCCCGAGUGUUUACAGAGAAGCUCGGCUCGUCGCCGUUGCAUCUGAGCUGGGAGGCACGACUCAGAAUAGCGAGAGGCGUGGCGAGGGGGCUCGCCUACAUCCACGAGAAGAAGUGCUCGCAUGGCAAUCUCAAACCGAGCAACAUUUUAUUGGAUUCAGACAUGGAGCCAAAGAUCGGAGAUUUCGGCCUGGACAGGGUAAUGUUGGGCGCGGGCGCGUCGGCCCGGCAAUUCGGGAGUAAGCGGUCGAUGCACUCUUCGAUCAGCUUGCCAGAUCUGUCCUCGGUCGCCGGAGCUAGUCCUUCCGCCGCAAGCGGCUCCUCCUCCUCGGCACUCGCACCUCCGCCGUAUCAGGCGCCGGAGUCCCUGAAGAACCUGAAGCCCAGCGCCAAGUGGGACGUUUACUCGUUCGGGAUGGUGUUGCUGGAGCUGGUUGCCGGAAGAGUGUUCUCGGAGGUGGAGCUCUGUCACUGGAACGCAGGGCUUGUGGUGGAGGAGAGGAACAGGCUUCUGAGGAUGGCCGACGCGGCGAUAAGAGGGGAGGUGGAAGGCAAGGAGGAGGCUCUGCUGUGCUGCAUCAAGCUGGGGUUCGCUUGCUGUGCCAUGGCACCUCAGAGGCGGCCCUCCAUGAAGGAGGCAGUCCAAGUGCUGGACAACAUCUCUCCGCUUCCGCUUCCGCAUCCACAGUCUGCCAACGUUCUGCUGUCGAAUCAUAGCAAAUGCAAUCCGUGAUGCCAUUGACCUUUCGACUGCAACACACACUGAUUUGUUCCUCUUUGAUGUGUUCAAUAUAUGAGUCGUUCUUCUUGUUUUCCUUAGUGUGAGUUGACGACCAGCCUUCCGUUUUGGUUGUGACUAAAUGAUUAGAUUGUGGUCACUCUGCACUGCUUUGUAUCGAUUAGGCAGCGAAGUAGAACUCAGAGUUCUUCCAUGUUUCCCAGAUUCGAGUCUGCAUAGUUACUGCCAAAUGCAGAUACACCACCAUCUUGCUUCACCGUGAAAAGAGAAGCUCAAUUCCCAUUCUUUUUUAUAGAGAUAUAUGACAAACUUUAAGGACUCGAAUUAGAUUUCUUUGCUCUUUCUUUUCGUUUAAGAUCCGUAGUCAAGGGAAGAACAGCUGCUCAAAGUCAUCCAUGCAACAGAGGAAAGAGCAAAAGAAGACAUAAAGAGGAUGGAACUCUUUCCAAUGUCAACAAGCUUUCUCAAGGUACAGUAUACUGACUAGAGCACCGCAUCAGUGACCGCUCAGAGCAAAGAAGCUAAGCAUCGCCAUCAAGAGACAGAGAGCAGCAUUGGCAACAUUUGCAGGCUGGCCACUCGGAGGAUGUUGAGUCGUCGGUGAAGUGACCGGCGCCUUCUCGACGAGAUCUGCCACCGGGGGCAGCGGCGGAUCCACAACGUCAGCGACCUCCAGAACUGGCGCAGGGGCUUCCGCCGGAGGCGCCGCGUCUGGUGAUGCCAGCGACAGCAAAGUACCGGGCUCUGCUGGUAAGAUCGAGUACGGUAGGUUGGCAUUCAAGUCAGAGCAUGGGCUCUCUGCAACAUCAAAAGGGCAUAUCCCAAGCACCAAAUCUUAGAUUGCCAAGACAGCAGCAAGAUUUCUCCUUGUCAGCUAAAUCGAAGUAAAAGAAGAUACUCACUGAGGUAUGCAGCUGCCGUGGCUGGGAACUCGGUCACGACGCCGUCAACUCCGACACCUGCAACGUACGUAGCAAGCUCCACCAUCGGGUCGGAGAAGUAAUCAAACGCUAUGGUCAAGAACUCGUUCCUCAGCACCGAGACGUAAACCGAUAUGUUAGCUGCGUGCAUCUGGUCAACCACGUUGGUGAAGGCGGAGACGAAGAAGCCCGACGCGGCGACGAUGGACGAUCUAGGAAGGUUGACCGCGUCAGCGAACUGCUUGAUCUCCUCCACUGUUGGCUUUGGAGCGUCGCUUAUCGUCUCCUUGACGUGGAGCACUCGCUGGUAUCCAGAAUUCUUCUUGAAUGCAGAGAGGACCGCGGUGUCGUCGGACUGGAUGUACACUUGCUUGUCGUAACUGGCAUUCCUCAACGCGGUGGAGACUGCGUCUACCGCCCCAAGUCCUUUCUUCGAAGCAAGGUAAGCUGCGUUCUGCAGGAUCAAGAUGACGAUGAGUGAAUGGAUGACUCGAACAAUCCAGAUCUGUGCAGUAUUCCAAAAAGAUGACCACCUCUAUGUUGAUCAAGAUUCCAGAGACGGUGCUCUUCUUCGCAAACUGCAAGAAGUCAGCCAGCGUCAUGAACUUGCCCUCACUUUUCGCUGCAGGAUUUCUUGCCAAGCCGGACUGAGACAUGGGGCUCGUCAAUGCCGCUACAGGAAGAUAACCAAAACCAUGGGAUCGACAUUCUCGGAAUUAGAUUUCUAAUGGUGAACAGAGUAAGGUUGCUUACGCUUCAAGCUUUGGAUCUCGCUCCAUGUGAGAUCAAAGGAGAAGAUUCCAUUGUUUUGCUGUAUCUCGGGAACCAUUGCCGCUCGCGGCAUGAACGCAGCAGCUGCGGUUGUGUCGCCCAUAAGAUCUGCCGAAUCCAAGCAAAAGGCAACUCCAUCCUUUGACAUCUGAAUCGAACAGUCAAGAACAUCAGCUCCAUCUUCCACUGCUCGUUGAUACGCGACAUCAGUGCAUCCAGCAAACAUUCCACUCGCACCAUUGUGUGUUAUGAUUAGUGGUCUCCCUGCUGCAUCAAGAUCAAAACAAGUAAAUGACUAGAAUUCUGUGAUCGUAAAUUGCCUUAUAAUUAACUAUGUUUACCUUCGGUAGGGAUAGGUUUAUUCUCGUUAUGUGCCAAGCAAGCUGCAGCAUGCAAACGAGACAGAGAUAGUAAGCAGUCUACAUCGACGGAGAAGCCAUCGACGGACGAGGAGGAUAUUGGUUACCUACGGCUUCUGAGGCCGUGGAAGGGAAGUCGGUAAGCACGCCAUCGACAGAGAAGUUGGAGUUGCUAAUAAACUGCAGGUACUCCACGGUGGGAUCAUAGCUGUAGUUGUAGCUCGCAGGGGCAUCAUUGGCGAAGUCAUAAGCGUAGACUUCCAAACCCACACCAUGAGCAUCUGUGACCAAAGAAGUGUGAGCCUCCAGAUACUGGUCUUUGUUGACAGGCCAUAUGUAGCUUUUGGGCACGAGAAUCCCAGAGGCAAAUGACUUGAUGGUGACAAGAUCGUUUAGGAGAGCUUGGUAUGUUUUCUUCGUGGAGGGCUCGACAUCAUCCACUUCCAUGAACCGGAAGAUGAGCUUCGUCUUGUGUCUCCCCGGCAAUCCGCUCAGACUCUUCAGGAACCCUAUUUCUGGAGAAGAGAUGCAAUCUAUGAUCGUUUCCCUUGAUACUGAUCUAAUGUAGUCCACUGCGUCCAAGUCAUGUUCCUUGAAGAAGGUGCUGUACUGCAUGCAGCAGAUUGGAAAGGAGUUAAUGUCGGUAACGCACAAGUAGCUGAUGAAGAACCAGAAAUGCUGUUCAUCGAGAUCAUGUACCUGCACAUUUACCCAAAGCUGGUAAGGGUGAAGCCCCGCUACAUCUUCCACCAUGGAUACCGGCAGAUUGCCAUCGAACACGCUUGGUCGAGAAAAGAUACUUUGGAUCACUUCAAAGCAAGAGUGGAGAAGAAACAUUAGAUGAUCCAGUCAGAUGAAUAGAUGGUGCAGUGCUGCACUUGAAGAACUGGUGUACUCACAUGUGACGUUGUUAUAUAGUUGAUCCGAGGUGAAAUCAAUGGAGAACCAUCCUUGAACAGGCCGCCCAUUCACAGAAUAAGUAGUUCUUCCUUUUGGGAAGACAGCUGAGAUGGUUGUGGAAUUAUCGAGUCUCAGAUCCGAGUGGCAGAUGCCAGCCCCAUCUUUGGUUAAUUGGAGAUCACAGUACAAAACGACGUUCUUCAAGCUUGUUGACUGUGCAAACUGGUACGCAAAUUGGCUUGAUUCGGGGAAGAGUCCGGAGAAGCCACCGCGUGCUAUGACUGCAGGAGCAUUACCUGCGACAUGGACAGGAAGAAGAACACAUUCUUUACACCUUGCAGCCUCUUAGUAUGGCCUAUUACGACCCUGAGAUGGAAGGAAGCCAUGAUCGUACCGCUCAAGGUCUGCCAUUUCGUGGGAGAAACCACAGCUGCUGCAGCUCCAUGGAGAAGCACGAUAAACAGAAGCACAUUCAGCUUCAUUCCUCCAGUUCCAGAGACGAAGUCCUGCAACUCAUACAACAAGAUCGCUGUAGGACGAAACUUGCUUUGUUCAUGCAGAUAUGGCAUCGGUAAUAAAUAAUCCAGAAAACCAACCUUGGGACUCGAAGAUUCUUUUGGUGAGCACCCAAAAUGGAGGCAAGGUUUCCUGGCUCCCAGGAAACCCACCACCUCCAGGAAAACAGAGAGGAUGUUAGAACAACGAUCCUACUCGUGCAUCAGAACACAUCAACGAAUUUAUUUGUUGGAAUGUGUGAGGAAAAGAAAAGGUAAUGGACGAGCUUAAAUUUCUCCCCGUCUUUCCCUCUCUCUUCUCUUGGAAAGGCACUUGUCCUCUGUUAGGCAUCCGCCAUCCUAUAAGCUCUCGCCCUCGCUUUUUGUGGAAGGCGUGGUGGUUUGACCUGGUCAACAUCUUAUGCUGAUGAUGAUGCUAACCAUGUAACGGUAUCUCCGUUCAAAGGAUGACUCGACCAUGCCGUGUAGCAGAAUCAUUAUUAUUAUUAUUAUUAUUAUUAUUAUUAAAGAACACGUGGCAUGGUUAACGACCGAUAGAUCCACGAGCCCAAGAAACAGAAGAGCGUCGGCUCGAUCGCAUUCAAGUUGUAUAUAUAUCAUCUCGAAGCUUCGCGAUACCCAAACCGUUCCCUUGCUGUUCUUUUAGCUCUCCAUCAUCUCUCCUCACUCGGAGCCGUCGACGUCCUCCGCCCUGUCGUCUUUCACCCCAAACCUAAUCUCUGGGUGCCGCCGCUGGCGAUAAUCUCAAGAGGUUGGAUCUUGUUCCAUAUUUCUUCUGCCUCCGGUAAUCUGGUUAUCAGUUCUUAGGUAUAGUCUUCUUGGCCGGUAGGGUAACUACGGUGGUUUGUUCUGUCCUUUUCUCGUUCUUUGGUUAAGGCUAAUGUUCUUUCUUGCGACAUGAUGCAUCCGAAGGCAGUAUUUGAUUUCGUUUGUUUGGUCUUUUGCGAUGUCAAUCGUCUGGCUUCUGGUAGUCUUGAUCUUUCUAGCACCCAUGUUUUAAUGGACGCCUUAAGGAAAAUUUCUUGUAGGGUUUGUACUUGCAAGAAUCUUGAUCUUGAUGCUCAGAAGGGAUCCUCAAACUCUAAUUGCUAUUGUGUCUUCGCCAUAAGUCGUGUUUGGUUUCUUGAUGUGUGUAUAUGUACAUGCAUCACGAUAAAUGAUCCCUCCCUUUUACCCUAUUUUAAGGUUGAUAACUUUUGUAUAGUGUAUGGCAAAAGAAUUUAGAUCUUCAAGUUUGGAAUUGAAGUCUAUAAUACAUUUCUUGUUUUGCAUCUAUUUUUUUAUCACAUUAUACGAUUGGUUCACAGUUAGGCCUAUAUUGAUGGAUUUAAAAAUAUGCUCAAAUGUUUUGUGCGUAGUCAGUCUUUUGAAAAGACGAUUGACAUCUCAAGAGGUCGGAUCUUGUUCCAUAUUUCUUCUGCCUCUGGUAAUCUGGUUAUGGGUAGAGUCUUCUAGGCGGUAGGGUAACUGCGGUGGUUUGUUCUGUUCUUUUCUCGUUCUAUGGUUAAGGCUAAUGUUCUUUUUUGCGACAUGAUGCAUCCGAAGGCAGUAUUUGAUUUCGCUUGUUUGGUCCUUCGCGAUGUCAAUCGUCUUUGUCCUCUCGUAAUCUUGAUCUUUGUAGCCCACACGUUUUAGUGGACGCCUUAAGGAAAAUUUCUUGUAGGGUUUGUACUUGCAAGAAUCUUGAUCUUGAUGCUCAGAAGGGAUCCUCAAACUCUAAUUGCUGUUGUGUCUUUGCCAUAACUCAUGUUUGGUUUCUUGAUGUGUGUGUGUACAUGCAUCACGAUCAUUGAUCCUUCCCUUUUACCCUAUUUUAAGGUUGAUAAAUUUUGUAUAGUGUAUGGUAAAAGAACUCAGAUCUUCAAGUUUGGAACACAAGUCUAUAAUUGGUUCAUUGGCAUCUAAUUCUUAUCACAUUAUAUGAUCGGUUCAUUGGCAUGUGUAUGUGUUAAUAGUCACAGUUAGGGCUAUCAUGAUAGAUUUAAAAAUAUGCUCAAAUGUUUUGUGCGUAGUCAGUCUUUUGAAAAGACGAUUGACAUGUCAAGAGGUCAGAUAUUGUUCACUAUUUCUUUUCCCUCUGGUAAUCUGGUUUUGAGGUCUUGGGUAGCAUCUUCGUGAAACGUAGGGUAACCGGCGGUGGUGUGUUAUGUCCUUUUCUCGUUCUUACUUGAUUUCAGUUUAUUUGGGUCGUUCACGAUGUCAGUCGUCUUUUGUCCUCUGGUAAUCUUGAUCUUUCUAACCCCCACGUUUUAAUGGAUGACUUAAGGAAAAUUCUUGGCAAACACAUGUUUGCUUCAACGUAGGAUUUGUACUUGCAAGAAUCUUGAGCUUGAUGAUCAGAAGGGAUCCUCAAAUUCUAAUUGCUAUUGUGUCUUUUCCAGAAGUCUAUGUUUGGUUUCUUGAUGUCUGUGUAUAUAUGCACAUGCAUAUACACAUAUGGUGGUCACGAUCAUUAAUCCCUCCCUUUUACCUUAUUUUAAGGUUGAUAAAUUUUGUAUAGUGUAUAGUAUAAGGACUUCGAUGUUCGAGAUUGGAAUACAAGUCUAUAACACAUUUCUUGUUUUGCAUCUAAUUUUUAUCACAUUAUAUGAUUUGUUCAAUGACAUGUUCAUGUAUAGAUACCCUCAUAUAGGCCUAUAAUGAUGGAUAUAAAAAAAUAUGCUCACUUGAUUUGUGCACAGUCGGUCUCUUGUUCAAGGAAAAUAUUAUGGAAUAAUGGAAGUCCAGAAUCUUUUAGACCACAUAUUGAUACAGGAUGUUUUGGAUCUAUUGACUUUGGUCGUUUUGGAUAAAAUCAUAGAGUUAAUUAUUUUAUUGUGACUUGGUAGUUUAAUUCUACUUUGAGAUUUAAGCUCUUGGUUAUGCCACCCUGCAUGGGAAAUUUGUCUUUAUAAAAAUGUUUGCCUUCUUCUUCUAAGUGUAUGCCAUUUCUCUAAGUCUUUAAAAUACAAAAGCCAGAAAACUGAAAACGUAGAAAAUGCUUUCCAACAUUGAAUUAAUUUUAAGAAAAACAAAGUAAGAACAAUUAUAUACACUGAUAACUUUGUCAUUUAAGAUUUUGCAUGACUUUGAAUGAACCAGCGUACGGUUGGUACUGAUUGUAAUAGGAGUGUCUUGAUUUUGAUUCUUGAGGCUUCAACUGGUGGAAUGUAGACAAUUGUCUUCUGCAUAUAAAUUUCCCAUUCCACUUGUGAGACAUCCAAAAAAGUUGUUCUUGUAAAUUAAUUUUCAAAAGGACAAAUUCUAUGAAAUAUACAAUUACGUUGAUAUCUUUAACUGAACCCAUAUUAUAUGAUUAUAUAACUGCUGUAAUUUGUCCAUGCUGUAUAUGCAUUUAACUUACUAUUUUUUGUGUGAAGCCUUCAACUGGAAUAUAGACAAUGUCUUUGCACAUAAAUUUCCUAUCCUGCUUGUGAGACCUAUAUAUAAUGUUUUUUUGUAAGUUAAUUGCCAAAAUGGCAACUUCUAUGAAAUAAUCAAAAAAACAUAUUUUAUGCUUAUGUAACUGCUCUGUAAUUAAUUCUCAUUGUGUGAAGCCUUAUAAACUUAGCAAGUUUAGUACUCCGUAUGCAAUUAACAUACUAUAUUUGGCUCAUUGUUGCCUAAAAGUUGUGAUACUUUAUUUGUCUGUACUGGAUUGAGGAAAAUUAUUUACUGGCAGAAGCUUGUAUCAUUCUACCUUAUUUACAUAGAUAGUCAACAAGGGUUCCAUGUUGCCUUUCGCAUAGCCUCACCUCUGAGAUAGGUGAUUUGUUUUGAAAGUAUGGCUUGAUAUGUUUUGUUUGCCUCAAUGCAUGUAGGAACACCAUUGAUUUGUAUUAGUAACGGCAUUUAGCUUCUAUGUGAUGCUAGAGAAUUCAUCUACUUGGUGAAUAACAGUGAAAACAAAAUAAGAAGGCACAGGAUUUUUACAUUUUAAACUGGUUGAAUGGAGGCUGCUCUCCAACUUGCUAAGUUCUAUUAGAUAAUUUUUUUGUACAGAAAGACAUUAUGCAUUCGCAAUGAUUGUACUUAGUUAUUGCGUAGUUUCUGACCCUAUAAGUUUGGACAAGUGUAAAGAAGGGAGGGAGAACUGUAUAUCUUUUGAAUGCCCGGAAAAAUUAGACUUAAAAGACAAUUGGAGUUUGGAAACAUGUAGCACAAUUUGUUUUUUGUCCUAAUGAUUAUCAAAAUAGACAAAAGAAUAUAUUCAAGUCAAGCAUUCAUGUAUUGCGAUGACAUUGUUCAAUAGUGUUGAUUAUUAUGUUGACUGUUUUUGCUCAACACUCAACUAAUAAAAUAUUACUUGAGGAAAAAUAUUUGCUCAACACUCAGCUUUUGUAUAUAUUACACGAGGAAAAAUAUUAGCUCAAUAGAAUAGCAGCAUUACUGUAUGCUGCUAUCCACUCAAUAGAAUAGCUCAAUAGAAUAGUAGCAGCUUAAUAGAAUUGUACGUACGUUGGGGUUAAUCCCUAGGACACCACCAGAUUAAUUUUUAGUUAUCCCGUCGCCUUAGAAAAGUCUCUGGUGACUUUGUUCUAGGUGUUUUAUAGACAGCUCUAGGGCAGUACUUGUCUUUCCUCUUAUGCAUGUUUUGGUUUCAUAAAUCACUGACAUAUGGAAGAAUAGCAUUUCCACUUCUUUUCUUCUAUGUCAAAACCUAACUAGUAUUUUUUGGCUGACAUUUCGAGGGGAGGUGAGGGGGACGAGGGGAUUGGGCAGUGGCGGGGGAGGCAAGGGGAAAGGGUGAGAGAGGGGAGGGGGACAGGUAUAAUAUCCCUCACUUCUGAAAUUUAUUUAUAAAAUUUUUAAUGAUUAAACUGUUAAAUUAUAAAAAAAUUAAAAAUUAUGAUUUUAUCCCAUCACCUCUCUGUUUACUCGUGCGCAUCUCUGUUUCCUGCACGAGAAAACAGAGGAGGAGGUGUGCGGUGUCAGGGAGGAGAAGAAGGGAAAAAGAGGAGAAGAGAAGAAAAGAAGAAGAAGAGAGGGAAGAGGGAGAGGAGAGAGAGGUGCUGCAGGCCAGGGUAGACGGAGAGGAGAGAGAGGUGUCUGCAGCUAGGGCUGCAGCACCUCUGUUUCCCGCAAGAAGAAACAUAGGAGAGGAUAUGUGGGGAGGAGAAUGGAAGAAGAAGAAGAAGGUGGCUGCAACACCUUUGCAUCCCGCAGGAGGAAACAGAGGAGAGGAGACGUUGUGCGUCGGGGAGGAGAAGAAGAGAAGGGAAAGAAGAGGCUGCAGCUGCAGCAAUAGCAGCCGGAAGAGAAGGAGAGGAAGAAAAGAAUGUGAGGAAGAAGAGAGGAAGAGGAGCUGUGGUUGCGGCUAGGAAAGAAGAAGAAAAAGGAAAGAAGGUAGUUGCGAUUGCGGCAGUUGGGAAAGAAGAGAAGGAAAGGAAGAAGAAGAGAGAGAAGAGAGGGAAGAAGAGGAAGAGGGGAAGGUGGCUGCGGAGAGGAUAGGUGCUGAAAAUGAAACAGGGAGAGGAGACUGAAAAAGAAGAUAGGUGCUGAAAAUGAAACAGGGAGAGGAGAUGGAGGAAAAAGAAGAUAGGUGCAGAAAAUGAAAGAAGAUGGGGCUUACACCUUCGGAUCAAAAUCUUCGAAAGGCAAGUGUUCUGAUCUUUCAUAUUGCAAGUGUUCUGAUCUUUCAUAUUGAAAGUGUUUCGAUCUUUGCUCCUGCAAGUGUCCUAAACCUUUCUCUACUAUGAUUUUAUCUCUGCUUUUGUCUUGAAUAUGAAAACUUUGAAUUGUUCUAGUCUUGUAUUUGGUACAUCUCUUGUUUAAACGUAACGAUUUGAAUUUGAAAAUUUUUGAGAUUCUGACCCUUCCACCUUUGUAGCUAUAAAUCCCUGUAUAAAUUUUCAAUUUCAAUAAAACUAGUUUGAUAUGAAUAACCUUUCUUUUGAUAGCUUAUUUGAAGGAUUUUGAGUAAAUUUGUCUGUCCAAACUUCUGUUUCAAUUAACCUUAUAGAUUAUAUAAAACAAGGAUCAUAGCUUCUGACCUUUCGAUACUGAUAGGGCAUAUUUUGGUAAACAAGGAUUAUUUUGCUAUUCACGACCACAUCAGCAUUAGGGUCAUCACGUCGGAUUGCACCCCUCGGUCAAUGUCGAUUCCGCAAAGGUCGGACGAUGCAAAUCGAGUAUCAUGCCAUCCCGUAGGAGUCGGGAUAGCCGCGACCGAGUACAGCGUCGUCCCAUAAAGAUCGGAUCGGCGCUGACCAAGUAUAGCAUCGUUCCGCGAAGGUCGGGACGACGUCAACCGAGUACAACAUCGUUUUGUGAAGGUCGGGACGACGCCGACCAAGUAUGACGUCAGACAAUCAUAAAUAUGAUAGGUACGGUUGGUCCAACGAGGGAAGGAUAAAAACCCCUCGUGGGGGCGACAAUAGAGGUGGUUGAUUUUCCACUCAAUUCUAACAAGAUCUUCAGAGGGGUCAAAAUCGGGAGCCGCCUUCCCGACCCCGACCUGUGUGCAGGGUUCGUUGACAAAAAGGAGGCGGUCAGCCAAAGGGUGUUUCUCGACUUCGAAGCCAGAGCCCAAGCCUGACCUCACCAAAGCACGAUCGCCAUCAACUGAAUGCCGACGUGGACAAUCCUACGCAUUCGAGACUAAACCAAGCCAUGCUGACUCCAUCUCCCAUGGUGUGAGGGAUCCUUAUUAGAUACUAAAUUACCUAUAAGUCCCUAUAGGAAACUCUGAUUUGUUCAAAACUUAUUUCAUUAGAAAUCAGACUCAAUAGAUCCUUUUUUUGAUACCUAGAUCGAAAGAUUUGAAGUCCAAAUAUCUACCCAGUUUUCUAUUGAAAUAUCUUUAUAAUAUAUUUUCAAGUAAAUUGGAGCAUAAUUUUAAAUAAAUUGAAUUCUUGGAUGUUCUUGUUUUGCAUGUUUUUAUUUUCUUUUAAAUUUGAAUGCAUUUGUGAAAGGCACAUGUACGUUUCGUUAUACUGCAUGUGCCAAUUUAUUAUUUAUAAUGCCCUUUUGUACUCUGGUGUUUGUGGGAGUAUCUGGAUCUUUGUUAGAAAUGGUAAAAGGAUUAUGCCUAGAGCCUGCGAUGUUUUGUCGAUGGUCAUCUAGAAAUGGAUGAAUUAUAUUUUGUCUUUAAUCCCACUACACCUUCUAUAUGUGAAUGCAAAUAUGACGUUUAAACUUUUGUUUCGUAUUUGUUCUUUGAUAUGCUUCGAAAUAGUUCAUAUGUCGUUGAUAUGCUCUGAAAUAUUUCAUAUUCUAUUAAUAUGUUCUGAAAACACUCUGUGCUUCAUUUGUAUUCUGCCUUGCAUUAUGAUACCUAGUUUGUUUGAAACUAUCUCUUUUCAUUUUGGAUAUGUUUAAUCACUUACUGAGCGUUUUAACUCACUCUGUUGUUAUAUAAAUCUUUUAGGUCAACUUGUCGAGAUGUUUGUACAAGGUUGAGGUAGUGGAGAGCUAUUCAAAAUUCUGGGCAAACCUUAUUAUGUAAAAGUGUUAAAAGAUCUCUCUCGUUUAGAAUUUCGAAAUGUUAAGUUUAAUUUACGAUGAUAUGAACUUGAGAUAAAUAGUUGAAGUUCUGAUUGUAUAAACUAUACAGGUUUUAUGGAUGUGAAGUUGAUUGAAUGUUUCUCAAUGUCUCCAAAUGUUAGAGAGGAUGAGGGUAAGGGGAGGGGAGGCAAAUGAUUGUAUAAACUAUACAGGUUUUAUGGAUCUCAUUCCUUCUCACACUGACUCCUUCCGCUCUUUCCCCUAGUCGUUGUCCCUCUUCUUCUGUCCCCUUACCUCACUCCCUCCAUCCUUCUCCUCUCCCUUGCCCUCACUCCCUUCGUACCCCUCGCCUCACACCCCCACUCCUUCUCUCAUCGCCCACCCUCUCACCUUAACCCUGCUCCCUCCCCUAGCCUCUGUCCCUUUUCUUCCGUCCUCUCGCCUCGUUCCCCCNNNNNNNNNNNNNNNNNNNNAUGCCCCCCCACCCUCUGCCCCCACUCCCUAAAUCCCCCUAACCUCUCUCCCUCUCCCCCUAACCUUUAAAGAUUAAAAUGCACUUAUAGGUUCCAAAAGAGCCCAAAAUUCUUGUGCAUUUUUAUCUCCUUUUUACAUUCAAUCAAAACUACUCAUUAGUUGGGAUGGCCUUUCAAAUUAUAACAUCAUAAUCUCUAUCAUCAUAGUCUCUAUUAUGCCAAUGACACAAAAAAACUAAUAUGACUUCAGAAACACAUUUUGUCAUCAUAAUAUCACUUGGACCAAAAAUUCAUAUCAGGGUUCUCCAAAGAGCUGAAGAGCUUAAUGGGAUUGGAGAUUGAAGGCCUCAUCCCACCCUUCACCAUUUGUGCUACAAGCACAAAACAGAAAAUCUAACGAAAAAUUACCACUCCAAAACUCUCAGAGAAGCUAAUCUGUUACUUCACAUCUCUAAUGGUCAAGGAAUUCAUGGAGUUGGACAUGACAGGUUGGGUUUUCUUUAUCCACAACAUGCAAGCAUAUGGAGACAUAUGCAGGCAGUCAAAAGAAAGAAAAACGGUCAAAAAAAGAGAGGAAAAGCUAGAUAAGGUAAAAUGUGAUGAUAAGCUGUAACUGAAAAUUAUAGCUGUACUACCAGAUAACCUUCACACUUUAUAAUUUUGCAUGUCACAAGUAAAAUAAAGAUAUCAGUUUGAUGUACAGUUCGAUCAUUCCUGACACAUGUAACUAUUGGACAGAAACCUGUAUCAAUUCCAAAAUAAUCACCACAGGUACAUGAUCUAAUAAUUGGUUAUACAACAACAGUCAGGAAUGCAUAAAAUUGAUGCUUUGCCAACAGCACAUACAUCAUAUUAAUAAUCCAAAGAUUUAAUUGAUAAGACAAAAUUAUAUUUAGUUUAAUCAUCCAAAUUUCAGCACACAUUUUAAAUACUAUUGCUAUAAGAUAUAGAAUUUGCUAUUCAUUGCAUACAUAAUAGAAGAUAACAAACUAAAUCUUAAAAUAUAACUACUUAGUUGAGUGUCAAUCUAUUAUUUAAUUCAAGAUGUGCACUUCAAUUUUUUCAAGUUGCAUAAUUCAUCUACAAUGGAGUCUGUAUUGAUAAUUUCAGCAAAGAAGACUUAACUAACCUGAUUAACAUCGAAGGCAGAACCACAAACCAAUGAUUUAAUGCAAGAAUAUUUUACUAACUUGAGAAAGCACAGACAAAGAAGGCAGCACUUUGAUUGCAGACGAGCAAGAAAAGCAAAGCAUCUUAUUUGUAAGCCCUAGCAAAAAUAUAUUGAUGGAAGAAAAUUAGAUUUGCCAAUUGAAAUUCCUUUUUUUUUUUUCUUGGGGAGUUCACAAGUUUUCUUCUUUUUUUUUUAGGUAUACUUUAAGAGAUCACUUAUAGAAAGAAAUCAAAAUCCGGUUUUCCUUCAAUCAAGAAAUAGGAAGGGCUUCUUUAUCACAGUCAAGCGACCAUAGGAGCAUGGCCUCCCAUAUGCUGGCAAGAUUCCUUUCUACGUGAUCCUUUUUGACAGAAAGAAGUCAGAUGAGGAUAGGGACCCUCACUAGUUGAAGGUAGGGGUAUAAACAAGAUUAUAAUAGAGUUUUGGAAAGCCAAGACACUGACAGCCCUUGGUGCCACCGAAGAAAGCCAACCAGGGCCUGAAUGACUCGAUUUCAGCCACUAACAAGAAUUCUAGAAUCAAAUCCAUGGACAUCGAUCAAAAAUCCGUAGGAGAUCGAAAGCGGAGGCGAGAGAAAAGAAACGAAGAGCAUGACAAGAAGUCUAAGGUUCAUCUCCGUAGACAUCGAUAAAAAAUCAACAAGAGAUCCACCUGCGGCGGGUCAAGAAAAGAAAAGAGGGGAAUGACCAGGUCUAAGAAUUAUCUCCAUGGACAUCGAUGAAAAAUCAAUAGGAGAUCCACCAGCGGAAGGUAGGGAAAAGAAAAGAAAAGAAAAGAAGAGGGCCUGAAUGACUCGAAUUCAGCUUCUACCAAGAAUUCUAGAUCUAAUCAGUAAAGGUCUGGUUGCAUCCACAAGAAGUCCAAGAUUCAUCUCCAUGGACAUCGAUCAAAAAUCCAUAGGAGAUCGACCUGCGGAGGGGCAAGAAAAGAAAAGAAAAGAAGAGGGGAAUGACAAGAAGUCUAAGAUUCAUCUUCAUUGGCAUCGAUCAAAAAUCACUAGGAGAUCAACCUGCGGAGAGGAAAGAAAAGAAAAGAAAAGAAGAGGAGCAUGACUAGAUGUCUAAGAUUCAUCUCCAUAGUCAUCGAUCAAAAAUCAAUGGGAGAUACACCUGCGGAAGGAAAAGAAAAGAAAAGAACAGGGGAAAAACAAGAGAAUCUUGAAGUUUCCAUGGAGGUACUGAGGAACACCGGAGAUCGACCCUCUCCAUUAGAGAUCCAGAGGAGAAGAGUACAAAAGCUUCCACUCACAAGCGUCGCCAGGAGCUACAAAGCCGUGACAUCCAAGAACUAAAUCAACAUGAAUGUGCAGGGCAAACCUAUUAGGGUAUUAUCUAUACACGAACAAGAUCUAAUCCGUAAAGAUCUAUUAGCUUGCUCAAGAAUUUCAAGAUUCAUCAUCAUCGAAAUCCAAGAUUAAUCCGAGAAGAAAGGAAAAAGGCAAAAUACGAGGGAAACCUUCAGCUUCGGCGGAGGAACCCUUCGAUGGCGGUGGGUAACGUCCUCGCUUCAUCCGAUCGAUCGACUCCCUUCCGCUCUCUCCUCCUCUUCAAGAUCUAGUUGGAGUUUCCUCCCCCAAGAACUCGACAGCGAGCGAGAGAAGGAAUAACCAACUGGGGCAAGACGGUUUCUUGAAUUGGACCAAAACCCAUAUAAGUAGUAGUUGGGCCAAAACGGCCGGCCCGGGUCGGGUUUUAAUGACUAAUGGUUCGGGUUGGACGGAACCAAGAUGCGGUGGGCUGAGAAUUCCAAUCUGGUAAUUUAAAUAGAUUAAUAAUUAGCUCAUUUUUUUUUAUUCGGUAAACCGACAAUAAAUGGUGCCAUUUAUUGUCGAUAAAUGGCAAGUGGCAGAAUGACUCGGAUGUGGACAUUCUUGUGUGACGGUGACUUGGCGCGAGGAGCAUUAAUGAGAUGAGCUGGUUUGCGGAAGAAGCAGGGUGUUCCCCUGCCGACAUCGAUCGAUGUGCUCUCUUUACAUUUACAUGUGAGGGCAUGUUUGCCUACAGAACGCAGAGGGUGGCCGUGUAUACCCACCACGUUCCCCCGCAUUCCUACAAACAAUUCAUCUGCACAUCCACCUCCGUGCAUAAACACCAUGCUUGGCCGUCCUCGCAUCAAGGAAUUGCCCGCUCCAACCCACGCUAGUCUGUUGUCGAGCUCCGACAACCCCCCACAACCACUCUUAUGCCUUUUCCCGCACCCACACAAAGCGCUGCGUGGUGCCCGUUUCAUCCCCUCUACGCCACCAACAAACGUACGCCGGACUGAUAAAGAUGGGGCCAAAAGCAUCAGUAAGCAAAAGGUGAUGAGGGCGGUGGGCGUGACGGGUGCGUGAGGCACAAAGCGAAAAAUGAGAGGACGUAAGUUGCCACUCCAUCAGCGCGCCUGUCGAACACCUUUCGGGCAUCCUUUAGGAAUACAAAUCUCUCAAGCAACGAAGGCAAAGAUGCAAUGGUGCUCGUUGUUUGAAGAAACCACGGCAAGGCCGUCGAGACACGGCCAUCACGUCAUCCGCCGCGUCAUCACCAUCAUCCUCACUCGUACGCCGGUUUGGGAUCUCACCGGGGCGGAAUCCCGAAGCACGCAGACCACGUGGGACGCCAGAGAACGAACCUGCUGUUGGCGCUUCGGGAACGUGGGGAUUGACGGGGCCCACGUGGAGAACCAACCAAGAGCACGGACAAGUACAUGAUGGCGAGCCUCGUGAGCCCCACGUGACGGGGAUGGCCUGCCGCGGGCGCCGAACGCCAAGUUUCCGCUAACAUGGUGCGUUGUAUUAGGCACGGAUAACCCAAGUGUAAAGAUGGGGGGGCUGUGGGAGGGAAUCUAAGCUGCACCUUCGUAGUUCUUUCGCCUGCCAGCCAAGAAGCUAUAUUAUAGUCCAUCUGAAUUCAAUAAUGUGGAAGUGGUGGACACGAGGAUGGCACUGUCAGGGGGACCAGUGGCGAUGUCUUGGAAAAGCAAGCUUUGGGAUCUCGCUGCAGCUCUAAUCGGGGCAGGCCACCGUGACAGCUCAGAAGCAAACGAACAACGUAGGUAGAUUUUGACUUCAGAUGACGAUGCUACGUAAUGUGUAGUAAAAAACGAUAAGAAAAGGAUGGUGGUGCCCGAGACGGGGAGCAUGGUCCACCUAACUGCUUCCCUCCCACCACAUGACCGCUUUUUUGAAGUGCCCAAACGAUGCGUGGUGGCCCACCCUCACACGUGCGCCACGCUCCACAAGUGGGCUGCAGGUGCACGUGCUGCCCCAACCGUGCCCGUCGUUCUCUUUUCCCGGUCCUCAAAUAUCUAUUUCCGUUCACACGCGUUCGUGACGGGCGUUUCCCUACCCGCACCGUCCUCUUUCAAUCUCUCUCGUGGUCACGUUUCCCCGGUUGUCUCCUCGAACCGACCCAGUCGAAUUAAUUUGAACUGGUAGAAAGGAAGAGAAAUAGAUGCAUGUGGGCCGUGUGAUGCGGAGGCGAACGUAGUUGGUUCUUUGCACUGCUUCACAGCCGGGGAGGUCGGGCGGGCCAAAUCGCCAGCUGUGAGGGGGGGUACACGACGUACGAGUCACGGGAAAUGCCAUCGCAAUCCAAUAUCCAUUAAUGAACUACGACAGAUAGCAACCGACGCUGCCCUGCUCGUUCGUAUAAUAAUGAAGUAUUGAUAGGCUUACUUCCAACAUGUAUCUCCCCUUGCUAAUUCUUCUAGAUGGAGAAUUAUUACUAAAUUACUCUUUAAGUGGGGGGACACCGUGUUCAUUAUAUUAAAUAACAGACGUACGUAGAUAUAAUAAAGGCGUAAGGAAGGAGCGAGGAAGGUCGGUAACAGGUGGUUUAGAAAGGAAGAGGGAGGGAGGGAGGGGUGUCGGUGUGCAGUCAAAUCUAGAGAUAGAAAAAUGGCAGUCGGUUUUUUGGCAGUUUGGAGAGCUUUCGAGUGUGUACAGGAGAAGAAAAGGAGAGGGUGGGGGGCAGUUAAAGGCUGCAUCUGACAGCUUGACAGGCUGGCCUGAACGGAUACCAUAUCUUCCCAUCGGACGAUAUAAUUCACAACAGUAACAUCAUCCAUCAACGGCGUUACUGCGUACUGAGUCGAAACGGAAAGGGACGAGUGAUACACGCGGGCAGAACUCACAACGGCGUUGUCACGGAAGGAAGGCGCUGUGAACAAGAUGGCGUUUGAGGGCGUUACGAUUCUGAUUCGAUGGGUGUACAAUUACCGUCUGAAACAUGGUGGGAAUCGCAACGAGGCAUCAUUGUCCGCACCCGUUAUGCGAUUGGAGAUCGUACGGGCCCCACGCGGCAAGCCGCUGACAAGGCACACGGUUGGUAGUGUCGUCGAGCAGACAAAGGUGGUGCCGUGGAGCAGCUAACGGAGAUGCGUGGCCACCGCCAGCUGUAUGCAAACGAAACCUGUGGGAACCGGACGAGCUCGCCAAGCGAUACCUUAACCCGGUCACCGUCGACCCUCUAUAAAAUCCCGUCUGUCUUCUUCGUGCUGCUACUGCCAUAACUCUCGCUUCCUUCAUCAGCCUCUUCUUCCUCUGGGUUUGAACAUUUGCUCUAACGUAGCAAAAUAACGGUCGAAAUAUUUGUUUAUUUCCUACGGUGGCCUAUCCUUCCCUAUUUUUCUUUGUAUUGAUAUCCUCCGGGAUUUUCGUUGGAAUCGCUUGGGGGUUUGGAUCGAUCGGUUGGAGUUUUUGAGUUGGGGGAGAUUGGAUCCGAUGGCGGCGACGACGACGACGACGGGGGGAAGCAGGAGCAAGGAGGCUGAUAGGAUCAAGGGGCCGUGGAGCCCGGCGGAGGACGAGGCGCUGCAGAGGCUGGUGCAGCGGCAUGGCCCCAGGAACUGGUCGAUCAUCAGCAAGUCCAUUCCGGGGCGCUCCGGCAAGUCGUGCCGGCUGCGAUGGUGCAACCAGCUCUCGCCCCAGGUGGAGCACCGCCCCUUCACGGAUGAGGAGGACGAGAUCAUCGUCCGCGCCCACCGCCGCUUCGGCAACAAGUGGGCCACCAUCGCCCGCCUCCUCUCCGGGCGUACCGACAACGCCAUCAAGAACCACUGGAACUCUACACUCAAGCGCAAGCACAGCCGCCCCUGCGCCGGAGAAGACGGGCUGCAGCACCACUACGACGCGAUCAUGUCGGUCAAGGCAGCGGAUAUGGAGGACGAGGCGGAAGCGACGAGACCGCUGAAGAGGGCAAGCAGCGACGGCCUGAUCCUGUUGUCGCGAGGAUCAGGGAUUUGCUUCAGCCCCGGAAGCCCGUCCGGGUCCGAUGUCAGUGAUUCCAGUCACCAUAGCUAUCCGGUGAUGCCGCCGCCGCACAUCUAUCAGCCGGUUCCGACAACUGGCCGCAUCGUGCCAUGCUCCUCUCCGAUCCUCAAACAGACUCAGGGCGAGACAAUCAGUGCUGCCGUAGCCCCUACAUUUCCCAACAACGACGACGAUCCAGCUACUUCCCUCACCCUCUCCCUUCCUGGAUCAUGUCAGAUGUCCACCUCCAAGGAUCGCAAGGUCCAUACCAUCUUCAAACCCAGUCACCAGAGCCAGCUGUCGUGCUCUGUUGCUGCUGCAGAUCCGCAGCAGAUGAUACCGGGCUUUUCCUCUGCAGCCACUUCCGCCGAGGAGGGGCGUCGGCCAGCGCCUUCUCCUUUUAGCGCCGAAUUCCUGGCGAUCAUGCAAGAGAUGAUCCGCAACGAGGUGAGGAGCUACAUGGCGGGACUGCAGCAGAGCCGCAUGAUGUGCGGCGUGCAGCCGCCAUCGGAGAGGGCCCGCAACGCCGCCGCCGUGAACCCCAUCGGAGUGACAGAUCUCGAGUAGGAGACGUUUUGGUCGCCGAGGAUUAUUAGUGAGCAAAGGAAUCGAAGAACAUCUUCGUAAGGAGAGAAGGCGGCUCCCUUCUUUGUAGUUGAAACCUUUCCUUUGCCCUGCUCGAACUCCUUCCUAAAUUUGGUUGCCUUGCUAGUGGAAAAAGAAAUUGUAUAGGAGAAAGACCACAAUGUUAAAAACACAAAAAAAAAGAGCAGUUUUGUCAUUUUGAUUUCAUUUUACUCGUUCAAAAGGGAAAAGUUGUGUGUUGAUAACAGUUAAGCGAGUUCGCGACCUGCCGCAUUCUGCGAUGGUCAUCUACUGUCUUCAUCAUGCAGUAUAUUAACAAUAAUUACAUAUUAGCGGAACUUUUGAAUUGAGAAUCUGAUCGAUUUAUUUUGUCUUAAAAAUUAAGAUUUAAUUUUUCUAUAAAUAUCUAAGUUUUGACAAAGAAAAAAAAAGUAAAAUGUGAAUAUAUAUAUAUAUAUAUAUAUAUAUAUAUGUCUUAAUAAAUAAAUUAAAAAAGGUGAUGGUGAUUGAGCCACACGUGAUCAACGAAGAAUAGUGCCACAUCUCUAUGGGAUAAAAAGAAUUGAAUCACACAUAUGGGAGAUAACUUAAAAGUCGUAUUUUAGCGCUGAUCUAUGUCAGAUACGCAAACAUCAUUAGAUAAAAACAUGCUAGAUUUGAACUUUGCCAUAGAAGAAAUGAAAUCCUAUCCCUAUUAAGCGGUAUUACCAGCAAAAAGCUUAAAUGAUAGAUAAGAGUAGAUGUAGGCAGAUGAAGCAAUCAGUUUGGUAUUGACUGCGGAUGGACCGAUGCACCAGUGCGGUAUUAAUAGAAGACAGUGAUAUUGGCGCGGCUCAAUCUGAGAAGGGUUUACCAUCGUAUCAUAAGUAAAUCCAAUCAUCAGAUUCAACCUCACCAAUACCACUUCCUUCAUCCACCGAGUCACCAACACUACUGACUGCGAUCACAACCAAUGAAGAAAGCAGAAGAUACAUGCCACGAUUGGGCUCAGCUGCAGCUGGAGGAGGUAGGAGAGGCCUGUGAAUCAAGAGGGCUCGACCAUGGAAGGAGACGACAGAAGGUUGUGAAGCAAUAUGGAAGGAGAGGGGAGAGCGCAUGAAAUAGUGAGGGAGGUGUCUCGGGAUUCUUAAGAAGGAAGUGCGAGGGGAAUGAUGCGAGUUCACCCAAUUCAACGCAGGAAGAUGUGUGCACGCUUGAUGUAUCUUUCUUGCGCAUGCAUGCCCGCCUGCAACAUUCGACGUACUCCAUUCGUUCAACUCUUCUUCCAACGUAGAGGGACGAGUACCACCGCGUAGUACACAGAGUGAGUUAUCGUCUCUCAUUCUUUUCUUACGCUCACGACGGAGGACAACGGCGUCAAAGUGGUUCUGCCAUGACACCGACAACACGCGGGGACACCCGCCGUUGGGCUGCUCAACCUCGCUGCUGCUUCUCCCUUUCGACCGCGCAUCAUCAUUAACUGGUUCGUCUUCAACAGUCCAAGAUACUUGGUGGAGAGGAUGAGUGUGUCAGGCAAAAGGUGGGACUCCUCGAGUUCCUCCUCGCUCUCUCCUACACCAAAAGCUGAUGCACCACCUUGGCGUGAAAGCGAGUUAAGGGAUAAAGGUUUAGAAUCCCAUGUUUGCAAUCAUGGCACACACGACGACUAAGCUGUAGGAAUCGACCUGUUCUUGAGCUCAAAUCGUUGUUGAUAUUAAAUCAGUGCAAUAGAUCGAGAAGAACAGGGUGAAUAAGGAGGCAUCCAGAUACAUUGUUAUUAUUUCUCAGUGACCCAACACGAUCAGCUCCUGGUCGAAUACAUGGAACAUAUCCGGGCCGCCCUCAUCCGCGUUCGCAUCGUGGUUGGAAGCUAAGGCGUCGGCGGGCCUUGCCGUUGCUUGGCUCACUGGUACGUGGAAGUCUGUGCUCUUGAUGGUGAGUCCGUCCGCCCCCACCGCCACGACGUCGCCCGCGGCCGAUCUCAUCAGCAGCAUGCAUGCAAGUAUUGCGAGGAUAGCCAUCGCCCGGAGGGAGGCCAUCGUUGUCGUCGCGGGUGGUCGCCGGUUGACAACAAGAAGAAGAAAGGCCGUGAGAGGGAAGGGAGGGGACGAAGCCAUUUUAAUGAGAGAGGGAGGGAAGCAGACCGACGACGGUUUCGGCCAUUCGAGGAAACGGGUGGCUGCAGU